This 71953-nucleotide long non-coding RNA is filed under the name Gossypium barbadense (sea-island cotton). RNAcentral's name for it is "long non-coding RNA (GBAR_LNC011959)". The stretch from base 54871 to 55014 matches the Rfam family "MIR7502 microRNA precursor family". The record is from RNAcentral. Lineage: Eukaryota; Viridiplantae; Streptophyta; Magnoliopsida; Malvales; Malvaceae.
AAAAAAAAAGAGUUCAAAGUUGAUUUUAUGUGGAAGAAAAGUGCGGUACGUAUACAUGGAAACGUAAGGCAGUACAAAUGAAAAUUACUUUUAUUAAAUAUGUACCAAAAAAAAGUACCUUACAAGUACGUCUUAGUUAUAAUUUUUCGUUUUCCUAAUAGCCGAUUAUUUUGGGACUUUUUACAAAACAUUUUUAAAGGAAAGAAAAAAAAAACUACUGCCAAAUUCACUAAAUGAAUUUUAAUUAGACUGUCAUUAAUAUCAUUUUUACUUCUAUACCGAUAUCAUUUAGUUAAAUUUUAAUUAUUAUUGAAUUAUUUUUGUUUUUAUUUUGUAAUUUUUGAAUUUUAAAAUUCCUGAGGUAAACAAUAGUUGUUAGAUUCUAUUAUUUUUAAAAUAUUAGAUGGUAAACAUAUUAUUUUAUGUAUAAUGCAACGUCAAUUUACGAAUUUUACAUAAUAAUUAUAAAAAGGUCUCAUAAAUUUUUAAUUUAUGGAUUUAACGAUUAUCAUUUAAAUUAUUAUCAAAAUUCAAUAAAGUAUAUAGAUUAAAAAUGAUCAAACUUGAUAACCUGGACCAAAUUCAUAACUUACGCAUAGUAUGAGACUUAUAGCAAAUUUUGACCUAACCAAUUCAACUCUUACCAUUUGGGUUAGGACUAGAUUUUCAGAAUUCAAAACGUAUGUAGCGACGUAAAAUUUGCUUUCGGUCGCUAAUUGUGGCGAUUUAUUAUAAACUUGAAAACUGAAGUUUGAUUGCUAAAUAAACAGAGAGUCGCCACCGAUCCUUUUUGUAGAUGUGAUCGGACACCUAAUAUAUCGUCUUUUUUGAAAAGAAAAUUUAUUCUCGAACAAAAACGAAGGCUAAAUUUAGGUCUACGUGAAAAGCCAGAGAAAGAAUUAGGGUUCGGGAGUCGGUUACGCACGAGGAAGGUAUUAGCACCCUCGCGACGCCCAAAAUUGGUAUCUUAUAAAACACGUGUUGUCUUGACUUUCAAAAAUACGAGUUCAAUGUAACAUUUAGUCGUAAUCCAGUUGAAACACAAGAAUUUUCACUUUUUUCAAUUUUUUCGAUUUUUGAGAAGGACAUACCGUUUUAACACGAGCCACUUGAUAUUCACCCAACAUAGCGAUGAAAUCGAUGACAUAGUGUUUAAAUCGGUACGUUGCCUUGCUUAUUGAAAUAAAUAAAAACACGAAUAAACGUUUUAAAAUAAUAAACAACGAGGUAAUAUAUAAAAAUGGGCGGGAAACGAAAGAAAAUAGUUGGAAAUACAUCAAGGCACAUAAUACAUACGACAAUAAUAUUAAAAAACAAUGACAAUGCACACGAUAUUAAAUGUAACAAUAGUAUCAAAUACGAGAACACAAUGAAUAUACAUAUGUAAAAGAAUGACAUUAAGAGUAUGUACAUAAUAUAUAGGAAAUAUACUACAUAUAAUAUUUGAAAUAUACAUGAAGUGAUAAAAAUAUACAUAACUAUUAGUGUUAAAGUAUAUACAUAUGAAAGACGUUUACAUAGUAAUACUAAAUAUAAGUACUAAUUUAUAUAUAUACAUAUAUUUAAAAAUACAUAAUAAUAUUAAAGAAUACGUACAUACUAUACAUACACAUAUAAUAAGAAAAUACAUACAAUAUGUAAUAUUAAGAAUAUAUAUAUGAAUAGUAAUAGAGUUAGAAAUAUACUAUAUACAGUGUUCGAAAAAUAUACCUAAGAUAGUAAAAAUAUGACUAAUAAUGUUAAAAUAUAUACGUGAUAUAUACAUAUAUAUAAAAUAAAUAUUGAAAAAUACAUGUACAUAACAUAUAUGAAAAAUAUAUACAUAAUAAUAUUAAAAUAAAAUGAUAAGUAAAAAUAAUGAAAAUAAUAGGUAUAAUAAUAAAUAUAACGACGUAUAAUACUAUAUAUAAAAGUAUAUAUAUAUAUUCAUAUAAUAAAAUGUAUGUACUAGUGUUAGCAAUAAAAUAAUAGGGAUAAAAAAUAGAUAUAAUAAUAUAUACAUAAUAUACAAAAAUAUAACAUUAAAAUAUAUAUAUGUAAUAUACAAGAAAUAUAUAUAUAAUAGUAUUAAGACUAAAAACAUAAGAUAGUAUAUAUACAAAAAUAAGUAAUAAAAUAAUAUGUACAUAAAAUACGUAUAUACACAUAUGUGAAUAAGUAAUAACAUCAUUAAAAAUAAGUAAUAAUAAUGAAAAUAAUAAGAUCAAUAAUAAACAGUAAUGAUAAAUGUAUUAUAAAAGGAUGAAAAAUAAUAAUUAUAUAUAUAAUAGAAAUAAGUGUAAUAAUAAUGAUAAAAAUAAUAAAAUAUUCCUAAAGAUAAUACUAAUAAUAACAGGUAGUAUAAUAAUAAAUAUAUAUGUAAAAGGAUAACAUAAUUAAUAAACAAAAUACUAAAAUGAUAAGCAGGGAUUAAAUUGAAAGCAAAUAGAAAGUUUGAGACAAAUUUUAAAGAAACAAAAACAAAUGAAAGGGACUUAUUUGAACACGCGCUAAACUAAAGGGGUCCAAAACACAAUUUUCCAGCUAUUAAAACGCUGCGCAGCGUGGGGGACCAGAAUGAACUCGGAACAAAACAACAGGGCCGAAUUAUAAUUAAAAGAAAACUUGAUUGCAAUUCGUAAAAAAAGCGGAAGGGCUAAAGGUGCAAUUAGCCCUUCCGUAGAAAACACGCGGAUCCUCCUUGGAGCGGGUCGGACAAUCGGGUCGGAGGCUCAAAACGGCGUCGUUUUGGGGCUUAAGUACAGCCCCCAAAACUACGCCGUUUCGGAGGGCUAUAAAUAAGCCCAAUUUCAGAAAAAAAAUUCAUUUGUGAGUGGAGAAAGAAAAAAAAGGGAGAGAAGAAGAGAGGGAAAGAGAGAAGAGGGAGAACGGAGGACUCCGGCCAGGGAGCCGAUCACCGGACCGUCGCCAAAAUUCUAUUUUUUUGUUUUUUUUAUUUUUUUUAUUUUUUUGCUUUUUGCUUUUUAUUUUUUUGGUAUUUGUUAAUAUAUUUUAUGUGUAUCUAUAAGAAAAAUGAAACACUUAUCAAUAUAUGCGUGAUUUCAAAGAAAAGAAAGAAAUAAUAAACCUUUCGUGUCUGCGAUUUGUUGCUGAAUCUGAUUUUUAAUAUUGUGGAGAUUGUUCUUUCUAUAUUCUGGAAACACACUGUUUUUGUAUUGAUAGCAAUAGCCGAAUUGAUCUAGUCGGAAAAAAAAAAAGAAAAGAGCCCCCCGUUACAGUUUUUGAUUUGGGUUUUUAUAACCCUUUUUCACCUAUUUUUUUAUUGCUUCUGUCUUGUCUGAUUGCAGGGAAUGGGCACGGACGGUGGGGUGUGUGAUGGCUCAGCACGCGCGGGGCGUGAUGGCCGACAUGGUGGAGCAGUGUCAGGCGCACAUGGGGAAACGGCGCCAGAAACCCUAGGGUUUCUGGCUUUCCAAAAUUUUUUAGAGUUUUGGGCCUAUCGGGCUUCACUGUUUUGGGUUGGUGUUGGGUUUAAGUGUUUAGGUUAGUUUGGGUUUUGGGUUGUAAAUGGGUUUUGGGUAUUUGUAUUUGGGCCUGGGCAAUUUAAAUGGGUCAUUUGGUUUUGAUUGUAAACAGGCCAAAAUUGGCCUACAACAGCUGCCCCUCUUUGCUCAUUAUUGUGUAACGAGAAUAGAGCAAAAACAUAAAGAGAGACCAAUUUUGUCUGGUCUUGCUGAGUCUUGACUUCUUUGGUGCUCUUCUUGUUCAGGUAGUCUCUUUCCAGUCCACCGUAUUGUAGCUUUGGUUCAAUCCAUUGCAUCUUUCGAUAUGACUUGUAGCUUCAAUCUGUUUCACUGUAACUUUAGAAAGAUAAGCUCUACAGCUUCACUUUGUUCUUCUAUCGCUUUUAGUGAGAUAAGGUUUGGAUCUUCUGCAACUUUAGAAAGGCAAGAUUUGUAUCUUCGAUCAGCCCCGCUGCAACUUCAGGGAGACUAAAUCUGGUGUCUUCCAUUAGCUCUAAUCUUUAUUUUUUACUUGACAUGUGAUCUUGAGCUCAACUCAUUUCUCGCAAUAUGAAUUGACUCAUAAAAAAUAGAAAUUGAAAAUAGCUCAGCACGUGAGCAAAGGCUCAACUCAUUUCUCGCAAUAUUAGUUGAUUUUUUAAAACAGAAUUUGCAAAACAGAUUUUGAAAAUACCUCGGUAUGUGACCUGAGGCUCAACUCACCUCUCGUAAUAUGAGUUGAUUUUUGAAAAGCAUAAAUUGAAAAAACAUUAAUUGAAAAUACCUCAGCAUGCCUCGAGGCUCAACUCACCUUUCGCAAUAUGAGUUGAUUUUGACGAACAGAAAUUGAAAAGACCUCAGCAUGUGAGCCAAGGCUCAACUCACCUCUCGCGAUAUGAGUUGAUUUUUGACAAACAGAAAUUGAAAUUACCUCAGCGUGUCCUGAGGCUCAACUCACCUCUCGCAAUAUGAGUUGAUUUUUUUUUAAGAGCAAAAAUUGGAAAGCAGAAAUCGAAAAUACCUCAGCGUGCCCUAAGGCUCAACUCACCUCUCGCAAUAUGAGUUGAUUUUUUUGACAAACAUAAAUUGAAAUUACCUCAGCGUGUCCUGAGGCCCAACUCACCUCUCGCAACAUGAGUUGGUUUUUUUGAAAAGCAGAAGCAGAAAUUGAAAAUACCUCAGCGUGCCCUGAGGCUCAACUCACCUCUCGCAAUAUGAGUUGAAUUUGAAAAGCAAAAGUAAAACAUCAGAAUACCAAAACAUGUCAUCUGGAGGAACUCAUGUGUCUUUUCAGCUAUCAUCACAUCCUCUUGCUCUACUAGAGUACCUGUAUAUGUCAUGCAUGAUAUUAUCAUGAUAUGCACAUGUUUGUCGUAAAUGAUUUUAUGCCUACAUGAUUAAGCUAUGAGCUUUAGGCAUGUUUGUCAUAUAUCCCUUUUUCGUCACGAUUUUCGUGAUGAUCUGCAUUCAUUACUUCAGCUCCUGACUUCCUCUUUAGGCCCUGUACCCGUCCUCAAGUUUCACGAGUAACCAAUGUUUCUCAAAUAUCACUCUUUUGCCCCUGGUUGAACUUUUUCCUUACUUUGAGAUUCUUGUACUUAUUAAAUUCUUACCCGGGUGAUGCUUAACAUUUCUUUUGUUUAGAGUAUGUCAUUUCACUAUUUAUCAUGUAAAUGAACCACAUAAUGAGAUGCAUGAAAAUGGUUAGGUAGGGACAAAAGGAUACCUCACAUUUAUUCAUUUCAAAUGUAGCAAACAAAGAAAGUUAACCAAUGAUAGUAAAAGAGUGUCAUAAAGAGAAAAGGGAUUGCAUUGAACGAAUACAAAUGCUCUAGAUAUUCAAUGCAUGAACACUUCCACGUUCCUCAAUCAAGAAUCUUUUCGAGCAUGGCUUCUUGCGUAAAAGAUUUCGAGCUUUCAGAAAUGCUUCAAAUACGAUAGUCUCACUAUUUGACCCACCGUUCAAAAUGCCUUACUUUUUAAGCCAGUGCUUGCUUCAUUAAAACGCCCUUUCGGGUUUUCAUCCUAUUCUUUUUUGUUAAUCAAGACACCCUUUUCGGGUUUUUAACUUGAUCACCCUUUUUUUUAGGAUGCCCUUUUCGGGUUUUCAUCUUGGUUUCCUUUUUCAAGCAUAAUAUUUCUUUACAGCAUCUGAGUUCACUGGAUUCAGUUACUCCUUCCCAUCCAUCUCGGUGAGAAUCAAAGCUCCGCCCGAGAAUGCCUUCUUUACGACGUAUGGACCUUCCCAAUUUGGCGUCCAUUUUCCUCGAAAGUCUUUUUAUAUUGGGAGAAUCUUUCUCAGCACGAGUUCUCAUUCGUGGAAUUCUCUUGGCCGUACUUUCUUGUCAUGGGCUGCGAUCAUUCUCUUCUGGUACAUCUGUCCAUGGCAGACUGCUUUCAGAUGUUUUUCUUCAAUAAGGUUUAACUGGUCAUAUCGAGCUCGAACCCAUUCUGCUUCUUCUAGUUUUGAUUCCAUUAAGACUCGUAGGGAGGGGAUCUCAACUUCGAUGGGUAGCAUAGCUUCCAUUCCAUAGACCAGAGAGAAAGGAGUUGCUCCCGUAGAUGUCCGCACAGAUGUACGAUAUGCAUACAAAGCAAAUGGUAGCUUCUCGUGCCAGUCUUUAUAUGUCUCGGUCAUUUUCCUAAUAAUCUUUUUAAUAUUCUUAUUAGCUGCUUCAACAGCUCCGUUCAUCUUUGGGCGAUAAGGUGAGGAGUUAUGAUACUUUAUUUGGAAUUGCUCACUCACUUCUUUCAUCAUCUUGUUGUUCAAAUUCAAGGCGUUAUCUGAAAUGAUUAUUUCAGGCAAACCAUAUCAACAAAUAAUUUCCUUUUUCAAAAACCUGCAAACUGCAGUCUUCGUCACAUUGGCAAACGAUGCGGCUUCUAUCUAUUUUGUGAAGUAAUCAAUGACCACAAAAAUAAAAUGGUGUCCAUUAGAAGCUUUUGGAGAGAUUGACCCUAUAACAUCCAUGCCCCACAUAGAAAAAGGCCACGGAGAAGUCAUGACAUGAAGGGGCGAAGGAGCUACAUGAAUUUUAUCACCAUAAAUUUGACAUUUGUGGCAUUUCUGUGUGAAACUAAUGCAGUCACUUUCCAUCGUCAGCCAGUAAUAACCGAGUCUCAUAAUCUUCUUGGCCAUAGUGAAACCAUUAGCGUGUGUCCCACAAAUUCCUUCAUGGAUAUCUUCAAGUAUUUUUCUGGCUUCAACAGCAUCCACGCAUCUCAAGAGCACCUGAUCUUUUCCUCUUUUGUAUAGGAUGUCCCCAUCAAGAACAAAUCCCGCUGCCAUUCUUCUGGUAGUUCUUUUGUCGUUCUCAUUUGCUUGUUCAUGAUACUUUUAAUUCUUGAUAUAUUCUAAGAUAUCAUGGAACCAUGGCCGUCCGUCUGGCUCCUUUUCAAUGCUGAAAUAAUGGGCAGGGACUUCAUAUAUGCUCAUUUGAAGAGACAUUAUUUCAGUUUCUCUACUCGCUUUGAACAUUGAAGCUAACGUGGCCAGGGCAUUAGCUAACUGGUUUUCUUCUCGUGGGAAGUAAUUAAAAGUUAUUUCUUCGAAUUUUUUAAUCAAUUCUGCCAUUAGAUCAUUGUAUUUAACCAGUUUCGAGUCUCUCACUUCCCAAUCUCCACGGAUUUGGUAAAUCACCAAGGCUGAGUCUCCGUAUACCUCUAAAGUUUUGACGCUUCGUUCAAUAGGUGCACGAAGUCCCAUGAUACAUGCCUCAUAUUCCGCUAUGUUAUUAGUACAGAAGAAGUUCAACUUGGCAGUGAGUGGGUAAUGGUUCCCUUCUGGUGAUACUAAGACUGCUCCAACCCCUUGCCCCAAUGCGUUCGAUGCACCAUCAAAGCUCAUCUUCCAUGACUUCUCUUUUGGUGACUCGCAUUCUUCUUCUGUAAUGCACAUCAAAUCUUCAUCCGGGAAUUCAAAUCUCAAUGGCUCAUAUUCAUCCAUUGUUCGGGUCGCCAAAAAGUCAGCUAUUGCGCUUCCUUUUAUUGACUUUUGACUCACAUAGAUGAUGUCGUACUCUGAUAGUAAGAUCUGCCACCGUGCCAUUCUUCCUGAGAGUGCAGGUGAUUCCAUCAUGUACUUUAUUGGGUCCAGCUUUGAAAUUAACCAUGUUAUAUGAUACAAUAUAUAUUGCCUAAGUCUUUGAGCUACCCAAACCAGAGCGCAACAGUAUUUUUCAAUAGACAAAUAUUUUGCCUCGUAUUCAGUGAACUUUUUACUGAGGUAGUAGAUCACCUUUUUUUUCUUUCCUGGCUCGUCGUGUUGCCCCAGUACGCAACCCAUUGAAUUUUCGAACACAGUCAAAUACAAUAUCAAUGGUCUUCCCGGAGUUGGCGAUACAGCACUGGAGGACUAGACAAAUAUUGUUUUAUCUUAUCAAAGGCCACCUCGCACUCCUCAUUCAAUUCUCUCGGGUUAUGUUUUCGAAGAAGCCGAAAGAUUGGGUCGCAUCGGUUGGUAAGUUGAGCGAUGAAUCGGGUGAUGUAGUUUAACCUCCCUAAAAAUCCUCUGACUUCCUUUUACAUGCGCGGAGGUGGUAACUCUUGAAUGGCUUUUAUUUUAUUUGGAUCAACCUCGAUACCUCUUUCACUGACAAUGAAGCCCAGCAAUUUUCCCGAAGUAGCCCUAAACGUACAUUUGGUCGGAUUGAGCUUUAGCUGGAACUUUCUCAGUCUGUCGAACAAUUUCUUCAGGUUCACUACAUGCUCUUCUUUCCCUCGGGAUUUAGUAAUCAUAUCGUCGACGUAGACCUCUAUUUCUUUAUGCAUCAUGUCAUGGAAUAACGUCACCAUAGCCCUCUGAUAUGUUGCCCCAGCAUUCUUUAACCAAAAUGGCAUCACCUUGUAGCAGAAUGUUCCCCACAUUGUUACGAAGGUAGUUUUCUCCAUAUACUUAGGGGCCAUCUUGAUCAGAUUAUACCCCGAGAAUCCGUCUAUGAAAGAAAACAAUGAAUGUUUUACUGUGUUAUCCAUCAACGUAUCAAUGUGUGGUAAGGGAAAAUUAUCUUUAGGACUUGCUUGAUUCAGGUCACGAGAAUCCACGAACAUUCGUACUUUGCCAUCUUUCUUUGGUACCGGGACUAUGUUAGUCACUCAUUCUGGAUAUUUGGAGGCUUGUAGGAAGCCAGCAUCAAAUUGCUUCUUGACUUCCUCUUUUAUCUUCAACAACAUCUCAGGCCUCAUCCGUAUUAACUUUUGUUGAAUGGGCUUGCAUUCUGGCUUUAAUAGGAGCUUAUGGACCGCUACAUCUUCAUCCAAUCCUGGCAUGUCCUGAUAUGACCACGCGAAUACAUCUUUGUACUCGUGGAGUAAAGCAAUCAAAUUAUGCCUGGUGCCCCCUGAGAUAGAAGUCUCAAUCUUCAUUUCUUACUUCCUUUCUUCGGUUCCCAGAUUUAUUGUUUCAACAGAUUCUUAAUGAGGCAAAAUCUGUUUAUCCUCUUGUUCUACCAUUCUUAGCAAGUCAGGAGACGAGACAUGGUCUUCAACAUUUUUUUUGGCUUCGAAUUUUCCUAAACAAACAACCUUCUCAAAAUCGAUUUCAGGACUCGUAACGGGUUUGUUCAUGCUGUUGACAUCUGGGCACCUGAAAGUUGAAUGGAAAAGGAAACUAUAGAGGGGUAUCCAAGUAUUGGAACCAACAAACGAAAUGUUAUGGCAUGGCAUGAGGCAGAUGUAAGGAUUGGCUAUGAAAUGAGAAAAUGAUUAUGAAAUUAGUGAUAAAGUGAAAGAUUAUGACAAAAUGCAUCUUCAUUGAUAUUCAUUUGAAUGAUAAAGAGCGAAUGCAGGCUCUUACAAAAGAAUUCUAUUAUAUUUAAGGACAUAACAGAAUGUUAACGUUUGAGCAUUACUCUGAAGACUUAUAAACUACAAGAAGAUCUUCGGCAGUCAAAUUGUUCAACCUGAAACCUAGGGGACAAGGGCGUAUCCUUGAAACGUUUUUACUUGCGUUAGCUCAUUUGUCAAUGACGUUUAUACUGAUAUUCUGAAAACCCUUUUCGAUCAUUAACAUUGUGCCUUGUGCAUUAUCCCACCCUGGGUAUAUCAUUCCCGCAGAUGUAAAUGUUUUUGACAAAAGAGGGAAUUUGAUAGGCUCUCAUUCUGGUUCUCGGCCUAAGGUUCUCGCGAUCCUUCUUUCCUGAUCUUUCUUCCACUGUCUUCUUCUUUGACGCAUGUCCGGCUGGAAACCUAAACCGUAUCAGGCCUUGUGGUGUACUGGCCUUAGAGCCCUAACUAUUCCUUGCAGAUAUCUCCCUAAACCUCUUCUCGCUCGAGCUCCCCUUCCUAUAGUCAACUUGAUACCCAUCCUGGUAUUUCUCGACAGUUUUGGCUCGGGAAUUUUGUUACCCUCAGCGACGAAUGUGGCAUUGACAAUUUCAAGAGAUCGGAAGGAACAUUCUACUGCGUCUUUGCUUACUUCAAGGUAUGGUGCAUCAGCAGAGAUAGAUGCAACAAUGUCUUCUUCUCCCUCGACAGUGACCAAACAACCAUCCAUGAUAAAUUUCACCUUUUGAUGGAGGGAUCAUGGGACUACUCCAGCAGAAUGGAUCCAAGGUCUUCCCAAGAGACAAUUAUAUGAUGGUGUGAUGUCCAUGACUUGAAACUCAACAUCGUAUAUGUAGGGACCCAGUUCUAGAGGGAUCUCAAUUUUUCCCAUAACUUCUCGUCUUGUUCCAUCGAAUGCCCUUACUAUAGAAUGGCAGGGUCUUAGAUAGGACAAAUCCAUCGGAAUCCUGGAAAGUGUGGCCAAAGGCAUGACUUUGAGUGUCGAUCCGUUGUCGAUGAGCAAGUUCGGUAUUGUAUAGCCCUUACAACGGGUUGUGAUAUGCAAUGCUUUCACUGAGCCUCUACCAUUUGACGGUAUUUCAUCGUCACUGAAAGAAAUGAAAUUAUCCGCAUUCAAGUUGUUCAUCCAUCUAUCCAGUUUUUCAACGGAUACAUUGUUUGCCACAUAAGCUUGAUUUAACACUUUCAGCAGAGCGUUCCGGUGUGGUUCUGAAUUCAACAGCAGAGAUAAUACCGAGAUUCGCGCUGGCUGCUUACUCAAUUGUUCUACCACGUUGUACUCACUGUGCUUGAUAAAUUUUAAGAAUUCCUGUGCUUCCUCGUCGUCCACAGGCUUUUUAGCUUCUUGUUCAGGCACAGUUUCAUGCUUAUCUUCGGUCACGUGCAUCGGUGCUUUUUUUUUCUGUUUCAAGUCACUGUUCUUCUUCACCUCCUUCGAUAACAUCUUCCACUACGAGUGAAAUGACCUACUUCCCUGACACUUCCAGUCAUGGCUUUAGGUUUUUCAUCUUCAGGUGUGACGAUAUUAACGUCAUAUUUCCAUGGUACUGCUUUAUUGUCCUUGUAAGAGAAAGGAGACGGUACUUCAAUUAUCAUUUUUGGUUUCACCAGUUUCUUCCUUGCAUCGUAAUAAAUUACGAAUGGUCGAUCGGCGCUAUAUAGACAACCUGAUGAUUGGCUGUCAGAGGCACAUACUUCUUUCUCAUUGGCCUCUCCUUCAUUAAUGAUAUCAAUCUCCUUAUUAUCUAUCCGGUCUUGCAGUAACCUUUUAAAAUCCUCACAUGAUUGAAUGUCCUGCCCUACAAUUCCAUGAAAAUCACAAAAAACCUGACAUUCUUUUCUGAGAUUAUCGUCGGGGCGACAGAGCAAUCCAUUCUUAACCAGCACCUCCCAGAUUUUCUACAGAGGCAUCCUUAUUUGUGAAACACAUCUUCUACCUUGCCAUUCAUCUUCUUUCCUCACUGUGCUUACAUUCAUUUCAGUAUGAUUAGGGAACGAGUUCCCAGUUGCAUUACUGGCACUAUCGAAUCGUAGGAUACCCGCAUCAAUUAGUCCUUGAACUCUCCUCUUAAAGGCUAGGCAAUUUUCCGUGGAAUGUCCCUGGUUUCUCGUAUGGUAUGCACAACUAGUGUUUGGGUCGUACCAUUUCGGGUAUGGGGGCCUCAAGGGUGCCAUAUAAUGCAGGGAUAUCAAUUGCUUCUCCAAAAGUUUUGGGUGCAGUUCCCCAUAUGACACAAGAAUAGGGGUAAAUUGUAGUCUCUCGGAAUUGGGUUUUGCUGGCCUCUGCUCGUUUUUGGGUUGACCUUGGGCAGGUAUUGUAUUUUGUGGGAAUGUGGCGGUUGAUCUCGGGUUACUUGUGGCGUAAACAGGGUAAGAAGAGUAAGGAGGCGGUGCUUAGUAGUAAGAGGUUUGAGGAGGACAAUAGAAAUUUGAAGGUGGAUAAUUUUGAGGUCGGGGUUGGUUUGGAUACGGAUUAGGGGUAUAACGGCUUCUUAUUCCCACCAUAUGGGCUUCUAGUUCUUUCUUCUUCAUGGGCGCUACCCUUCUUGAACUUUCUUGACCUUCCAUUCUACCGCUCUUGACGGCGUUCUCUAUAAGCUCACCGGAUAUUAUAAUAUCCGCGAAGUCCUUCGUGGCGUUUCCCACUAGUUUGUAAUAAAACGGCGUCUUUAAGGUGUUGAUAAAAAAGACGGUUAUCUCCGUUUUCAUCAGUGGGGGUUCCACUUAGGCUGAGACGUCCCUCCAUCUCUGUACAUACUGUCUAAAAGUUUCUGACGGCUUUUUCUCCAUCAUUGGUAAAGUCAUCUGAUCAGGGACCAUAUCUGAUACAUGCUUGUACUGCUCACAGAAUGCCAACGCCAAGUCUUUCCAAGAUCGGAUCCUUUCCUUACUGAGCUGGUUGUACCAUCGAAGAGCCGAUCCUACCAGACUAUCUUGAAAAUAAUGUACAAGUAGCUUAUCUUCAUUUACGUAACCGGUCAUUUUUCGGCAAAACAUGACAAGAUGUGCUUUUAGACAUAUUGUUCCAUCGUAUUUUUUGAAAUCGGGCACCUUGAACUUCGGAGGCAGAAUUAGAUCAGGUACCAAACUGAGUUCUUUAGCACCUAGUACCGAGAAGGCUUCAGUGCCUUCUAUUGCCUUGAGUUUUUCUUUCAAACUCCUAUACUUCUCUUGAGCCUCGUGAUCAUCUAUUUUCAACUUGGCUAUUUCGAUCGGAUUAUCUAAAUCUGGAACUACAGGAUUGGCAGGGGUUGCUCUGGGAUUUGACAUAAAUGUUCCUUACCCUAGAUGAGCAAAUGGCAUAGGUCGUUAUUCCAAGCCUGUGGAAUCCCCUUGAGUAUACCCUCUUUGUGCUACAUGGGCAUGCGGUGGAGUGAAUACUGGGGGAUAGAGUGGAUCUUGGUAAUGAUUAAUUCUCGAUUGAGGUUCCAUACUGUCGGGGUUCUGCAUGGGUCCUUUUCCUUUGACCAAAACUGACAUCAUCUCCAUCAUUCUAGCCAUUUGAUCCUUUUAUUCAAGUGAUUCCUCUCGAGAUCUUACUAUCAAAUCCCUCGUUUCUUAUUGUGACUUAACCAGUUGUUCUUGUAAUUCCUUCUGGACUCUUUCCAUCCUUUCAAUUCUUUCAUUGAACUCAGCCUCCAUUGCUCUAGCUUGUCGACGCGUUUUAUACGAAUGGCGUGGUUCCAGAUUUGAAGUGUUGCAACUGCGAAUUAUAUGAUUCUAACCUUAGCGAAUGAUUAUGGGAUAUGUAUAUGCAAUGAAUGAAUGAAUAAAUGUUGAAUGAAUGUCAGUCAUGAAAGAAGUGCGAGAAAUUGGUGUUGAUCUCGAGAUAGUCCCUAUUAGGCAUUUCAUUCAUCAAAAGAGUUCAUUACAAAACAUUUCGCCAUUUUGAUUCAGCCAUUACACAAACUUCCUAGCUAUAUCGCUAUAUUUCUUUACUCGCUCUAAGAACUCCGAUAUGCUCGAUUGUUGGCUUGGCGGGAAUUGGCAACUGAGAUCCUCUGCUUCAUCUGAUAGUUGUACCAUGUGCACAGUCGCUUCACGGAUUUUAUUGAUCAAAAAGCCAAGUUGCAGUUCUCUUUCUUGGAGGUUCGUUUUAUAAGCGUGAGUGUCUCUAUCAUAUUGAUCAUUCUUUUCUUCCAAGGCUUUUAAAAAGUAUCCAAUUGCUACUGACGAGCUCGCAACGCAUCUUAUAGAUCCCGUACUCUUUCUCUUAAGCUUUGACGUUCAGAUUGACUGAUUGUCCAUUUGGUAGACAUAGCUUCGUGUUCAGCGCUUUUCUUUCUCAAUUCUAUCAUAACCCGCGCAGCCUUUUCCUCUUCCUUCUCUGCCAUCUUUUUCUAAAAUUCCAUCCCACCUUUACUAUUGUUUAAUUCUUCUCUCUAUUUUGUUGACGACUUACCCAACCCACUAUUCUUGAUAGUGACUCUUAACUUUUUAUUUUCCAGAUGAAGGUCCCUUAAGUCAUUUCUUACGACUUCAACUUCUUUUUGUACUUUAUCAGUUUUAGACCUUUCGAUCUGGACGUCGAUCUUCAACUGGUAAUUUUCUUUUUGAAGAAUACUAAUGUCCCGCAACAUUUUGACCUUUUCGCGCUCAAAUUCUUGUCUUGCUAAUUCUAGCUCGGAUGGCACUUCUGUCGAGAAAGGAUUCUGGACGGUGUAAUUUGUCGACGAGAUUUGCUGGGUGUUCACCCGUUGCUUUCUCCAUAUGUCGUAAUCUUGGGUGAGGGUAUCAGCAUAUAGAGCUAAUUCCAUGUGAUGAAUGCUCUUCCAAGACUUUGCAAUAUCUCGGACCCUCUUCAUAUAUUCUUCACCCGCAAAAGCAAACUCUGAUUGUGCUAAUCCUCCGGUGGCGGGUAAGAAUUGUCGUGAAGAAAAUUGCCUUUGGACCAUUAACGGAGCAUAUCAUACUCCUCCCCAUAACCCGAGUAGUGGCACCCAAUCUUGAUCUCUGACCUUGUAUAGCAGAACUGACGGGCGUAUCCACGGGGCUCUCCAAGUUACGUCAUCGGCGCGAAGAUUCUGAAAGACUGAGACCCAAUAUUAUUCGGGGACCUCCUUCGGCCAUUCUUUCUUGAGAUAAGCUUCUAACAGGGAGAAUGUUUUAGAAAACAUAUGGAACGGUGUGCGCUCUACUUUCCAGAAGUGGCUCAGAAUCCAAACAUUGAGUAACUGCGCGCAUCCGAUAAAACGACCUUCCCCUUUCUUCCUACAGCUACUUAGUGAUCUAAAGGUUUCGGCCAGGAUAGUUGGGACGGGGUUGAUUCCUUGUUUUAAUCUUUCGAAGAAAUCUACAACCGCAACUUCUAUGUGUCCAAGGACCUUCGGGAAGAUGAUCAAACCGUAAAUGGCCAGAGCGAACAAAUUUACACUUUUUAACAUGUCGGGAUGGUUCAGAACCAAGUCUCGUAGGGAAGACCAUGGGAUGCAAAUAGUUUCAUUCUUCUUCUUUAUCUGUUUUUCGGCCCACGCAUCAGUCAUGUCUGUCAAUCUCACUAACUUUUUCUUGAAGGUCAUUGGCCUAGGUUCUUUCACAUAUAUCUUAUAGGGUUGUACGUUUUUGACACGAAGCAAAGCAGCGUACUCUUCUAUAGUCGGGGUCAUGUCUUCCUGAUUGAAAGUAAAAUAUUGGUAGGCUGGAUCCCAAAAUCUGACUAUGGCUUGGAUCAAUCGUUCGUCUACGUUGACAGUAAUCAAGUUGGCUAUGUCCCCAUAUUUUUCAGUGAAGAUACCUCUAGCAUCCAAGUCCCACUGAUUCCAAACCUGAACCAAAUCUUGAAGGUUAUUCUAGCGAACAUUUACAGUUACGUGCUCGGGCAAAUUGGCAAUACAUCCCUCUACUAGACUAUCCCCUCUUUCUUUCUAAGUCUUUAGAGACCAGUCUCGUACCGCAGCAUUCCUCUCGGUUGUUUGUAUAAUUGAUUCUUCCAUUAGAAACCCAUUUUUUGGCAACCGAUCUCUAGUCAACACCUUCCUAAUAUGAUGCCUAUAAUGCAUGAUAAGAAUAAAAACAAACAAACUUUGGUUAGCACAACACAUAUGAACAAAGAAAAACUGUAGACAAUCUAAUAAAUUAAGCUACUUGGUCCAAUGGACUCGAUUCCCUUGCAUAGAAAGCGUAAAUGUAAAAGAAACAGAAGGUAAGAGUUGUUUUUCCCGUGUACUUAUUUUGGUGACUAGUAAACUGACGGAGUUUGGCACGGCUCUAGUUGGAUAGCUCGUAUGGUUCACUAUAUACGGUUUUGGUUCUAGAUGGGUACUCGAAUCAUCUGUACUGUCAUCUACUAAGAUUAGUACAGAGCCUCGGUCAUGGCCCAUCAUAGGCUUACAAGAUCAAUUCGAGGGAUUACAUUUACUUAUGCCUAUGCGAAGGGACAAGUUAACUCACGAAAGCAUAAGUCAUAUGUAACCCGAAAGUAUUCACUAGCCUGUACGGAGGGAUAAGUUAACUCACGAAGGCGUAGCGUUUACUUUCACUUAACAGGGACGGAGCCCGGGUAUAGAGCUCAUGUCAUGCAACAAAAAUGCAUGUGCACAGUGUGUGGGGAGAAACUUGUAAACCUUUUCUAUUUAUUUAAAAAUAAAAACUAGAAUCGUAAAAACUUAGAGCUGAAAAACGGAUGAUAAACAAGUUAGGAAAAUAUUUACAACACAAUACAAAUGAUUCUUCGAAAUUUAAAAUUUUAAGGAUCACGACUAAAUAUGUUUUUGAACAAGGAAUUUUUGCAAAUUUUAACAACACAUGCUCAACUCGACUCGACUCUCAAAAAGCGUCCCCAGUGGAGUCGCCAGCUGUAGCGACGUAAAAUUUGCUUUCGGUCGCUAAUUGUGGCGAUUUAUUAUAAACUUGAAAACUGAAGUUUGAUUGCUAAAUAAACAGAGAGUCGCCACCGAUCCUUUUUGUAGAUGUGAUCGGACACCUAAUAAAUCAUCUUUUUUGAAAAGAAAAUUUAUUCUCGAACAAAAACGAAGGCUUAAUUUAGGUCUACGUGAAAAGCUAGAGAAAGAAUUAGGGUUCGGGAGUCGGUUACGCACGAGGAAGGUAUUAGCAUCCUCGCGACGCCCAAAAUUGGUAUCUUAUAAAACACGUGUUGUCUUGACUUUCAAAAAUACGAGUUCAAUGUAACAUUUAGUCGUAAUCCAGUUGAAACACAAGAAUUUUCACUUUUUUCAAUUUUUUCGAUUUUUGAGAAAGACAUACCGUUUUAACACGAGUCACUUGAUAUUCACCCAACACAGCGAUGAAAUCGAUGACAUAGUGUUUAAAUCGGUACAUUGCCUUGCUUAUUGAAAUAAAUAAAAACACGAAUAAACGUUUUAAAAUAAUGAACAACGAGGUAAUAUAUAAAAAUGGGCGGGAAACGAAAGAAAAUAGUUGGAAAUACAUCAAGGCACAUAAUACAUACGACAAUAAUAUUAAAAAACAAUGACAAUGCACACGAUAUUAAAUGUAACAAUAGUAUCAAAUACGAGAACACAAUGAAUAUACAUAUGUAAAAGAAUGACAUUAAGAGUAUGUACAUAAUAUAUACUUAUGCAUAUAUAUGUAUAAUUAGUAAUAAUGUUGGAAAUAUACUACAUAUAAUAUUUGAAAUAUACAUGAAGUGAUAAAAAAUAUACAUAACUAUUAGUGUUAAAGUAUAUACAUAUGAAAGACGUUUACAUAGUAAUACUAAAUAUAAGUACUAAUAUAUAUAUACAUAUAUUUAAAAAAUACAUAAUAAUAUUAAAGAAUAAGUACAUACUAUACAUACACAUAUAAUAAGAAAAUACAUACCAUAUAUAAUAUUAAGAAUAUAUAUAUGAAUAGUAAUAGCGUUAGAAAUAUACUAUAUACAGUGUUCGAAAUAUAUACCUAAUAUAGUAAAAAUAUGACUAAUAAUGUUAAAAUAUAUACGUGAUAUAUACAUAUAUAUAAAAUAAAUAUUGAAAAAUACAUGUACAUAACAUAUAUGAAAAAUAUAUACAUAAUAAUAUUAAAAUAAAAUGAUAAGUAAAAAUAAUGAAAAUAAUAGGUAUAAUAAUAAAUAUAAGGACGUAUAAUACUAUAUAUAAAAGUAUAUAUAUAUUCAUAUAAUAAAAUGUAUGUACUAGUGUUAGCAAUAAAAUAAUAGGGAUAAAAAAUAGAUAUAAUAAUAUAUACAUAAUAUACAAAAAUAUAACAUUAAAAAUAUAUAUAUGUAAUAUACAAGAAAUAUACAUAUAUAAUAGUAUUAAGACUAUAAACAUAAGAUAGUAUAUAUACAAAAAUAAGUAAUAAAAUAAUAUGUACAUAAAAUACGUAUAUACACAUAUGUGAAUAAGUAAUAACAUCAUUAAAAAUAAGUAAUAAUAAUGAAAAUAAUAAGAUCAAUAAUAAACAGUAAUGAUAAAUGUAUUAUAAAAGGAUGAAAAAUAAUAAUUAUAUAUAUAAUAGAAAUAAGUGUAAUAAUAAUGAUAAAAAUAAUAAAAUAUUCCUAAAGAUAAUACUAAUAAUAACAGGUAGUAUAAUAAUAAAUAUAUAUGUAAAAGAAUAACAUAAUUAAUAAACAAAAUACUAAAAUGAUAAGCAGGGAUUAAAUUGAAAGCAAAUAGAAAGUUUGAGACAAAUUUUAAAGAAACAAAAACAAAUGAAAGGGACUUAUUUGGACACGCGCUAAACUUAGGGGGUCCAAAACACAAUUUUCCAGCUAUUAAAACGCUGCGCAGCGUGGGGGACCAAAAUGAACUCGGAACAAAACAACAGGGCCGAAUUAUAAUUAAAAGAAAACUUGAUUGCAAUUCGUAAAAAUAGCGGAAGGGCUAAAGGUGCAAUUAGCCCUUCCGUAGAAAACACGCGGAUCCUCCUUGGAGCGGGUCGGACAAUCGGGUCGGAGGCUCAAAACGGCGUCGUUUUGGGGCUUAAGUACAGCCCCCAAAACGACGCCGUUUCGGAGGGCUAUAAAUAAGCCCAAUUUUAGAAAAAAAAUUCAUUUGUGAGUGGAGAAAGAAAAAAAAAGGGAGAGAAGAAGAGAGAGAAAGAGAGAAGAGGGAGAAGGGAGGACUCUGGCCAGGGGGCCGAUCACCGGGCCGUCGCCGGCACCGGCGCCAAAAUUCUAUUUUUUUUGUUUUUUUUUUUAUUUUUUAUUUUUGAUUUUUGUUUUUUAUUUUUUUGGUAUUUGUUAAUAUAUUUUUUGUGUAUCUAUAAGAAAAAUGAAACACUUAUCAAUAUAUGCGUGAUUUCAAAGAAAAGAAAGAAAUAAUAAACCUUUCGUGUCUGCGAUUUGUUGCUGAAUCUGAUUUUUAAUAUUGUGGAGAUUAUUCUUUCUAUAUUCUGGAAACACACUGUUUUUGUAUUGAUAGCAAUAGCCGAAUUGAUCUAGCUGAAAAAAAAAAAAGAAAAGAGCCCCCAUUACAGUUUUUGAUUUGGGUUUUUAUAACCCUUUUUCACCUUUAUUUUUAUUGCUUCUGUCUUGUCUGAUUGCAGGGAAUGGGCACGGACGGUGGGGUGUGUGAUGGCUCAGCACGCGCGGGGCGUGAUGGCCGACAUGGUGGAGCAGUGUCAGGCGCACAUGGGGCAACGACGCCAGAAACCCUUUCCAAAAUUUUUUAGAGUUUUGGGCCUAUCGGGCUUCACUGUUUUGGGUUGGUGUUGGGUUUAAGUGUUUAGGUUAGUUUAGGUUUUGGGUUGUAAAUGGGUUUUGGGUAUUUGUAUUUGAGCCUCGGCAAUUUAAAUGUGUCAUUUGGUUUUAAUUGUAAACUGGCCAAAAUUGACCUACAACAACGUAUAUUGCUUAAAUCCAUAAUUUAGGCAGGAGUAAUAAUAAAUUUUAACCUUUUUUAUUUAUAUUUACAAAUUUGAGUUUUAACAAAAUAUUUAUGUAUUAUUGUCUACCAAAAAGGACAACUAAAAAAUAUAUAUCAAAUCAUUUAUUUACUACCCUUGCUUUCUAUUUAAAAUUAAUUAAAAACGAAUCGAAGAAAAAUUUUAAUGCAACUAACCAUUAUAAAAAGGAAAAUAAAUGGCAGAUUUUUUUUCCGAAAAAUUUUUAAUCCUUUUUCCCUUUUUCUUUUAAUAAAAAUAUGGAAGAGUAUCAAUUACAAAAUAAUAUCAAUAUCAACAAAAUUAGAUAUCAAGAGUCUAUCUAAUCAUAUCUGAUCAACAACUUUUAAAGGAGUUGCAUAGAACAUUUUGGGAUCAACGGGCAAUUCCUUCAUCAAUCCAGCCAGAAUAUAAAGAGCAAAAUUCACAUCCUUUAGUAUUUGUUUAAUUUCCACACACCAAUCACAUCUGCAUAGUUAUUGAAUUCUUAAAAUCAAAUCUCUAUUUGGCUGACCUUUGAUGCUUCCCUAAAUCUCCUUGAUGACUAGAGCAUAAUCAAUCUCGAGAAUAAUUAUAUCCCAAUUAGCAUCCGAAGGUCAUCAUAGAUAGUCUAAAAAUUUUGCUUACUCUACACUACAUCUUUCAAUGUUACAUCCUAUCUUUAGAUCCAUUUACCGUACUCAUCUCUUGCUACUACUGUCGAAAAAGUCAAUUUUUAAUACGGAAUGUGAGCUCCAUCAACAUUCAACUUAAAAGAACUAAGAGGUGAUAGACUUUAUACUUAAUUCUUGAUACUAUUCAUGAAGGAGUAACUAAAAUUAACUUUACAUUUGCUUAAUAGAUCUCACAGAAUACCUUUAACGUUAAAUACCAUUUUUUUUUUAAAUGUGGCACAUGCAUCACUUAGAGCACGUUUGGUUCGCUGUAUUGGAUUAGAGGUGUAAUGGAAUAGAGGUGUAAUGGAAUAGAGGUGUAAUAGCAAAUCAACUGUUUGGUUGAAUGUAAUGGAAUAGAGGCGUAAUAGUAAUCUUAUGUUUGGUUGAAUGGAAUAGAGGUGUAAUAGCAUAAUGGAAAAAACUAAAAUGACUAGAAUACCCUUAGCAUAAAUUUGUUUGGGUAAAUGAUUAUUGUUAUUGUUAUUUAAAUUUUAAUAAGAUUAUUAAUAUCAAUAAUAGAGCAUUUAAUUAUAUUUAAACAUAAUAAUUAUUAAAUAUAUUAUAAUUAAAAUAUAUAAUUUAAUAAAAUUCUUAAUAAUCAAUAUCUUAUAUGAAUUUACUCAAAUCAUAAUAUAUGAUACUAUAAAAUAUAAUUUAACAUAAUUAUUAUUAAAUAUAUUAUAAUUAAAAUAUAUAAUUUAGUAAAAUUCUUAAAAAUUAAUAUUCUUAUAUGAAUUUACUCAAAUCAUAAUAUAUGAUACUAUAAAAGAUAAUUUAACAUAAUUAUUAUUAAAUAUAUUUUAAUUAAAAUAUAUAAUUUAAUAAAAUUCUUAAUAAUCAAAAUUCUUAUAUGAAUUUACUAAAAUCAUAAUAUAUGAUACUAUAAAAUAUAAUUUGAAUUAAUUAAUAUUAAAAAUAUUUUAAUUAAAAUAUAUAAUUUAAUAAAAUUCUUAAUAAUCAACAUUCUUAUAUGAAUUUAUUAAAAUCAUAAUAUAUGAUACUAUAAAAUAUAAUUUGAAGUAAUUAAUAUUAAAAAUAUUUUAAUUAAAAUAUAUGAUUUAAUAAAAUUUAAAAUAAUUAUAACUAAUAAAUUUUCUUAUAUGAAUUUGUAUAAUUUAAAAUAAUUAUUAUUAAAUAUAAUUUAAUAAUAAUAUAUAAUUUCAUAAAAUUCGUGAUAAUAAAUUUUCUUAUAUGAAUUUAUACAAUUUAAAAUAAUUAAUAUUAAAUAUAAUUUAAUAAUAAAAUGUUCUUAUAUGAAUUUACUAAAAUCAAAAAAUAACUUGAGAAUUAUAUUCUGCAUAAACAUAAUUAACUUAUAUUAAGAAAAGGUUAGAUGAAAAUAAAAUUCUAUAUCAUAAUCCAUAUGUUAUAUAGUUUUACAACAUCAUAACAAAUUUUCUUAUAUGAAUUUAUACAAUUUAAAAAGUUUGAAGUACGCAAUUCCAAGGAAAAAGUGGAGGGGAUGAUAUCACUUUCCUCUCUUUUUGGAUUGCUAUUUGUUAAUGACAAAUGCAACAUCAGAUUUCAGCUACUCCAACAUAAAUAGAACAGGGUAAAAAUUUUAUAAGAAACCAAAUCAAACAAAUUUCCAUAAUUAACUCCAGUAGUUGAUCUAUAAGCCAGAUCUCCUUCCAGGCAUAAGAGUAAAUUUCUAACGCCAAUAACUAAUUUAACUUUACAAAUCCAUUGGCAUGAACUAAUCAAAUUUGUGUUAAAAAUAGAUACAGAUUCGUUUUCUACAAAGAUAUACAGAAGCAAUGCAUUAAAGCAAGCCAGCCAUUACUGAAUACAACUGCCUCCAAGACUCAACAACCAAAAAUACUAAGAAGGGGGAGAGCGAAGAACCACCACAGAGGAAAUGAGGCAGUAUCAUGCAUCUAGCAACAACCACGAACAAGAUUUUGUCUAAAACUUCUGCAUGAUGGGUAGAAAGAUUCCUAAAAACCUGAUUGUCAAGAAGGUGACAUAGACCUCUGGAGUUGUAAUCUGAAAAGAUUCUUAUCAUUUUAUGAAAAUAAGUGGUACCAAAGGUGUUUGAGGAAGAAGUGAGGUGUAAGUCAAUUCAUUCCAUGUUUUCCCCUCAAUGAAGGGAACAGAUAAAUCAAUUGUGUGAAAAAUACUUGAAAAUAUAAACUCCAUAUACUACCUUCUCUCCAUAUUUGAUUCAGGAAGCAUAUAAGACACAACAAACAUUACUUCAAGAUGCACCAAAUACAGUUAACACAAUCUCCAAACUAUUCAAAUAUACAAUAUGGUUUUAUUAACAAGAUACUAAACCACUAGACCACUGCAAAAGAGCAUGUAUAAUAUGAUCUUAUUAAAAAAGUACAAAAGAGCUACCUCUCAUUGUGAAGAGCAAAGAGAACGAAUCAAAUAAAUUGACUUCGGAAAGCAGCCAACCAAGAUGGCUACAUUGUCAACUUAUAAAUACAGAGAACAAGGUUCACAAUGUUUUGCACAGACAAAUAGAACAAUAUAUAAUAUGAACUCCCACAGAGCUUUAUUCUACAAAUAAAACUCGCAUGCCAACCACUAAUUGAAUGCAGUGGAAUCUAUCUGUUAAAGAACAUGGAGAAAAGAUCCAACAAUAAUCCAAAAGGCUAUUUUUUAGCAUGACGCCUGGAAGGGAGACAUUUAUUUUCCGAUCAAAUAGUCACCGGUUGUGCUAUGCUGCAGAAACUUGCAAGAACAAUCGAAACAGGAAAAAAAAACUGAAAGAAACAAGAAUAUUAACCUCCUCUUGAUCAAACAAAAACUCCUCUUCAUCAAGUCCAGCUGCAGGUAAAUCCUCAUCCUCAUCAUCUAGCCCCCCCAAUUCAACUUCCUCGAGAACAUCGUUUCCAAAAAAUGCAUAUUGUGAUGCAUCAAAUACUGCACCUCCUGCAUAAUAGAAAGGUUAACUUUACUGAAAUGAGCUAUUCAUAAAGAAGAAAACAACACAGAAUCAUUAAAAAAAAGAACUUUCUCCAAUUCAAUGGGCAGGAAUGGGGUAAUUGAGAUGGGCGCAAGUUAACACCCUUUGUGUAUCCAAGGGCCUGAUAUUUCUCAAAAUGUACAAAAAACAGCUUCUCCAAUUCAAUCAUAAUUCAAAUAAAUCGUGCUUAUUUCCAUCACUAAAAAUAUUCGAAACCAAAGUCAAUUCAACUGAAAGUCUGAAACACCAGCCCACUGAAAUCAUUAACUGGCGUGAUUUAGUAGCCAAAUUCAAACUUAUAAUUACUAAUCUGGAAAAUGUCCAGGCCAACAUGAAACAAAGUCGCUACUUAAAAACUAGAAAUUGUUCACAUAUGGAAACGACAUUUGACUUCUAACUGAAUCAAACAGUGUUACCACAAUUAUUUAGCAACAAAAGCCUGCCCUUAGCAUUGAAAACACAAUAUUUAAGGAUCUAAUUUCAUUUCCUUCUAACUUGAAAAAGAGUGUUAUAUUGAGUUUACCAGUGGUUUGAACUCUAAUAUUAACUCGAGCCUCUGAAGGAUGAGGAAUACUGUAGCCACAGAAUGUAACUGUUGGGCUGCACAACAUAAAAAGGAUAGCUUCCACUUUCAAUACAAUCACUUAAAACAAAGAAAACACAGCAUGAAUCAAAGCUAAAAACAUAUGUGAGUGAACUGACUCUUGAUUCAAAGUGAAUCUAACAGCGUUAGCUAUGGUAUGAUCCUCAUCAGUUAAAGAAAAAGUGGCAGCACUAUUAUCAGUGAAAAACCUGUGUUCCAUUGUUUCCUUUAAUCCAAUUUCUAAAUCUCCAAACCAAGAAACAAAACUAUUAAAAGGAUGAAAUUUAAUCCAAUAAUCAUUGGGAAAACAUAUUUUUAAAUAAAAAAUAAGGUUGUAUCUUCCUUACCGGUUCCAAUGGACAGAACACAGUUUCACCGAUGGAGAGGAACGGAAAACGUGAGAAGGGGGCUGCUUUCUGAUCGGUGUUCGAAGUCCAGUUGUGACGCCAAAGAGAGGUAAGAUAGAAAGGUAGAAGUGUGAAUCGGUGGAGAUAGAAAGGUAAGACAAAAAGGUGAGGAGAGUGGAGAAGAAAGGUAGAAGGAAGAAACAGGGGUAAGACAGAAGCGUGAAUCAGGGGGUAAAACAGGGACCAAAACACAAUCCGGACCUAAACUGAGCACAACGGAGGGAUUGGAAAUCGGUGGAAUUUGGGGAUUAGAUCAGUAAUGUAAUAGACCCGUAUUAGGCUAAUACACCCAACCAAACAAUGUAUUGAGUGGGGCCCACGAUUAGGGGUGUAAUGGCUAUGCCAAUACACCCAACCAAACAAGCUCUUAGAUUUCCCUUGCCUGUAACAUGAAGAACCAAGGUAAUAUAUAUAUAUAUACAUAUAUAUUAAGUUUUGAAGUGAGUUAAUUAAUGAGAAAGACAAAGGGGUCCAAACUUCAAACAAACAAAUAUAUGGGGUCGACUGAUGCUACAACCAAAAAUAUAUAUCAAAGAAAUUUAAUUUACCCUUUGACGACAUAUUGCUCCAUAAAUAUUUAUUUUUUCAACAAUUUCUUUUAUGUUAAUUUCGAUGACAUAAGGGUGAUGAAAUACAUUGCCUUCAUUUGACAAUUUGCAAGGUCUUCUCCGUCGUCUUCUUUUUUUUCGAAUUUCAUCUUGUAAUUACAGAUUUUAUUAGUAUAUGCCACAAAUCGACCAAUGUGGUUAAAAAUGCUUAUAUCAUCAAGAAUUAGGUACCAUAAUUGAAAAGCACCAUUAAUUACAUUAUAUAUAUACAUAAAGAGGUUUUUUUUUUAAUGCAACUUUAGGAGAAAAAUGCAAAACAAUUAUUUUUUUUAGGUUAAUAAAGUUGUUGAUUAAUUGGUCUUGUGCUGUAAUGAAAGGGCAGCUUACAAGUAGAACAAAUCUGAGUUCAUUUUAGUUGUCUUUGCAUCAUAAGCAAAUGCUAAAACCCAUUAUUUCUUUAAUUGUGUUUAAUUAACUUAAUAUUAGUUUGUUUACCCAAAAUCGCUUUGUGGCGUCUGUGUUUUACAUUUGCCUUCUUUUUCUUUUUUAUUUAAAGAAUAAUUACUUCUUUAGCAUAAGUAUUCAGAAUGAUUAUGUUUGAUGCUCCUCAAUAUAGAUUUUAAAUACCAUGUCGGUAUGGGAAAUAUGGGCUUUGUACUUUAUAAAUUUUUAAUUUACUCCAACAUAGAUUAUAUAGUGGGAAAAGGAUGGGAUUAAAUUUAAAUAAAAAUUGGGCUGUAAUUAUGAUAAUGCUUAAUAUUUUUAUUUCAAUUUUUUUAAUUUGAGUAAAUACACCAUUAGUCACAAAUUAUGGGUAAAUUUUUAUUUUGAUCAUUUAAUUAAAAAAUUUACAAUUUGGUCACUAAACUAUUCGAAAAGUUCAUAUAAAUCACUGAACUAUUUAAAAGUUUUUAUUUAAGCUACUAAACUAAAAAAAGUUCCACCAGCAAGCUCCGAUGGAUCAAUAUCAAUCGACGAGUAGAAGAACAUAAUUUAGAUCCAAGCCGAUCUGACAAUCAGUGUUGGAGAUCAAAGAAAAAAAUAGCUCGAAUUUUAUUUUGUAAAUUCAUGACAUCUAAAGCCAUUUUAAUGAAAAAAAUUUAAACUAUAGAAGUGAAGAGGAAAGAAAGCUUUCGAUUGGUGUAGACAAUGCAAAUAGAGAAAACUAUAUAAAAUCAAUUUUAACAGCCAAUGAAUUAAAUAAAAAAAAUUGAAAUUUCAGUGGCUAAAUUGUAACUUUUUUAGUUAAAAAGACCAAAACGAAAAUUUAUACAAAAUUUAGUGAUUAAUGGUAUAAUUUUACCUGAAAUUUUAAAGGGAUAAUCAGACUCAUUACAAGGAACUGACAAAAAAGCUCUAAAAAUAUUGCAAAAAUCUUAAUUGCAGUUGACUGGCAAAAACUGAAAGUGAAAUGGGCUGAUCCAAACCCUUCUCUGAAACCAGUAAAAGUCAUUAUUCCUGAAAGUUGGUCCCAAAAUUCGCCCCUAAAUGAGGGCUAAAGUGUCAUAGUAUAGCUGCCAUAAAGGAAAAGGGCAAACCAAGGCUAAAAAUUAUAUAUAUAUAUUGGUAAUACAGCUCUAUGGCUAUACCAAUAUACAGAUACUGACCACUGCACAGUGAACCUCUACUAUAUAUGAUUUUGAAAAUUUAUUGUUCUAUGUUGGAUUAAGGGACCACUGUUUCAAUAUUUAUGACUUUUGUUCUUUAACCAAACUUGCUCGACAUUCAUUAUGGAUGGUGCAACAAUUUUUUUUUUGGAUUUUUUAAAAUAUAUUGAUUUUCCAUUGCAUACCACUAUUGUGAAUUUUGUUUGGGUGGGGCACUAAAGAUUUGGAAGAAAAUUUUCAAAUAUUUGGAGUUGAGUUUAAAAUUAUGACUUAGCAUUAUGUGGAAAAUUUUUAAAGUUCUAACUUUAUUUAAAAAUUUGACCUUCAAAAUAACAAACAUAAGAAUGCAAAAGAAAGAAAAGGAAAAUUGGCUCCAAUGAUUGAAUUUUUGUAUUUUAAUUAUUUUAAUUUUGAGAUUUUAAUCUUAAUCUUAGCAGUAAUUAUUAAAUUAAUUAAGAAAAAAAUCUUAUAUAGCAACCUAAAAAAAAUAUUAUAUAGCAAAAAUAUUAUAUACUAUCUACAUUCAUUACUUGCAAAAAAAUUAUUUUAUUUAGUUAAUGAAUUUAACGACUACUGUUCGAAUUAGGAUUACAAUUUCAAAUUUAAAAAAAUAUUAAAACUAAAAAUAAUGAAAUUGGAGAAUAUGGAUUCAAUACUCCAACUUACACAUAGUACAUGAUUAAUAACAUAUUUUGACAUGAAUGAACUUAAUUGCUAUUAUUUUGGUCAAAAUUAAAAUUUUAAAUUUUAAAAAUAUAGUGAUUAAAUCUAUAAUUUACAUAUAAUAUAAAAAUUAAAUAUACAAUUUACAAAUAAUAAAAUGACUAAUAACAGAAUUUGACUUAAUCUUAUCCACAUAACAUAUUCCUUAAAUUCCAUUUUCCCUCCACAAUUGAGGAUUGUGGUGUAUCUAAAAUCCAAAGAGAAGUAAAAACAACUCUUUAUUAGUGAGUGGCAAAUUGAAAACAUACUAUAUAACCAUUCUUCAUUAAAAAGUGAUAAAUAAUCUUGGAUUAAAAAAAAAAGAGAGAGGCUAAAACCAAUAUAUAUGUGAAAACAAAUAUAGUUAAAAAUGAGAUAUAUAUAUAUAUAUAUAUAUAUAUAUAAAUAGAAUCCCAUACGAAUGGGGCCUAGAGUGGAUUAGAUAUGACACUGAAAGUGUGCCCACAAUGAAUGUAGAGAGCGGAAGAAGUUUGUUUUUGCAGUGAAAGUUUUGAUUCUUUCGCAGCAAAUGCAAAAGCCCCCACUCCUAUCGUAUGUUAUCGCUUCCCUCAUUUCCCCUUUUUUCUUGUGAGUGCCAUUAUACCUCCAAACAAGAGAUGCCAUUGUCCUUUCAUCACUCUCUUAAAUUAUUGCACCAUCCCCUUACCCAGCUCCUUCCUAGCUACUCACUUUAUCAUCAAGUAUAAUAUCCAUUCUUUUUAUACAUCAAAAUAAGAAUCGAACUUUGGUAUUUAACGAAUACUUAAUUAAUUAAAUCAAAAUUCCAUAGCAUAGAGAAUAAGCCUAAAAUAGUUUCAAGUAUCCCACCACAAUCCCUUUACCUCUUCUUAUGUGGGUUUAAAUUAGCUUGGAAAUUGUUUAUUUUCUAAGUCAGUCUCUCUCUCUGUCUUUCCCCUUUACAAUAAUCUCAUCAACCAAUUAAAGAUGGGUGAUCCAAUUAGCUUGAGUUAGGUGUCAAUUCAUGACAAUAAACAUUAGAUCACUAAUCCUCCAUUUCCUCUCAUUGUUAGUUCAUAACAAACCCAUGAAUAAUAAGAUGAUAUACUAUAUUGUUUUAUUGCAUGUUAUGCUGAUCUUGUAAUUAUUGUGGUAGGUUAUAGAUUACGAGCACUUAUUCAAAACUUUUUCAUCCCUUUUAAUAAAGUUACAUACAAUUACCCAUGUUUAGAAUUCAAUGAAAAGAAAAAUGAAAAUCAUUUUACUUUUGGUGAAGGCAUUAGGGGUAGAUCACUAAAUUAAUUAAGAGUGAAGGGUUAAUUAUUGUACAUAUAGGGACAUGAAAAAUGACAAAUAAAAUAAGGGAGAAUAUAUAUAUAGUUGAAGGGUUGAAAUAUAUGUAGGAUGGAAUUGGGCAGUGAUUUAGAUGGUGAAGAAAGGCAUGGAGUAGUGGGUAAGACUGUUGGGAAGUGGUGGAGUUGAUGGUGCCAAAUGCCAAUGUAAAAAGGAAACAAUGCCCAAGGAAUUAUAUUUGUUAAGUGCAAAGAAAGUAUGGGAAAGGGAGGAAAAUAAACAAGAAAACCUUUUUUUUUAUUUAAUAAAAAAUAAAUUAGUUUUUGUGUGGGACAAGGGGAAAAUGAAUGGGAAUGGUUGAAUCAGCAUUAAAGAAAGUAAAGUUGGCAUUGUCUUGAAGCCAAGAAAAUGUGCCUGAUUUCAUGAUACUUCUUGGAAAUGAUUAUUCACAUCAAAGCUUGCCAAGUUUUUAUCCCAUGAAUACCACAAUACAGAAACUGCCUCCAUUUUAAUAUUCAUACGGGAGCUGUUUAAGGGGUAGAUCUAAACUGUUGUUAAUAGAAAAUUUUGAAUUUAGGUUCUUAGUCAUGUCAGUCCAUCUUCUAUUUUAAUAUUAAUUGUAGAUGAUUCUACUUAAUUUAGGUGGAUUUGAUGAAAUUCUCUACAUCAUUAAUGAGUCAAAAGUGUUGAUUGGUUGUAAAACUAAAAAGAAAAUAAAAAUAGGGGUUUAGAGUAAAUUUGAACCUACUACAAAAAUAUAUAACAAAACAAAAGGUGUGAGGUCUCAAAUGAUUUGGCCUGCUGCUCUAAUUUGAUUUAAUGAAGACAUUGGUUUCAUACAAUUCCAUCCAAAUCAAACCGAUUGGCUUCGAUUAAGUCUUCAGUAACCUCGAAAGCCCCAUUUUAUCUGUAACUCUAUAUUUCCUGCAUAUUAUUCUAAUGGUAUGAUAAAAGGAUAUAGUAUUAAUAUCACUCAAUAUAUUUUAAUAUUUCAAUACAUUAAUGUAAUUUAAACAUACAAACCGACACCGUACUGUUGAGAAGGUAGAAGAAAACAAUGACUCAUGAGUUGGAUGUGAGAUGCAAAUGCCGUGCAGCUCAGUGUUACUAAGAGGUAGAGAAGGAAAUUGAAAUUUUCAUUUUUAUUUUUUUAUCUUUCACCUCCUGAUUUCAAUUAAAUAAAUAUUUUUAAUAUUAAUAAAAUUUAGAAGUGUGACUGUAUUUAAAAAUGGGAAGCUUUUUACUAAUAGACCAAACAAAGGUAAGAAUAAAAAGAAAAACCCAUAGGAAUAUUAAGAUGAUUGGAUGAUAAUGAGUAGCCGACUAUGGUGACCAAAGGGCAAAUACAAAUAUACAACAUCCGAGUGAUUCCCAAGCACUCUCCUUCACAUUUUCCUUUUUUUUCUUUUGUAAAUCCAAUGCCUUCUUUUUAGCCUUUCAUUGUCACUUCCUCCGUCAAUUAAAGUUAAAAUACCCUUCUUGGUUUUGGAGAAGAUCACCCAUUCCAGAGUAUCUUUUGUUUUUACACAGAUUUUCAUUUUUCUUUUACAUUACCUAGGCUGUAUGUAUACACUUUUUGCUAUACAAGAUGAACCUAUUUUAAAUAAAUAAAAAUUGGGGUUAUAUUUCUGUUCCUAAAAAUGAAAAUGAGUGUUUCUUUAAUGGAAUCGAAUUAAUUGUUUGAUAUAAUAUAUUGAAUUGAUAGAGAUCUCCACUAAUAUAUUGGGAAAUUUGUAAUGAUUUUAUUGUGUUUAAAAAUUAUAUCAUAAAGUGUAAGAACUUGUUGGGAGACUAUGACAUAGCCGUGUUUAAAGAAACUCGUGAUUUAACACCAACAUUUUGAUCACAACAAAAUAAAGAAAACCCAACCAACACCCCCCCCCCAAUCAAUUAGGUCAGUGAUGAUAUAUCUUCCAUUUUCUUUUCUCUUCUCUAUUUGAUAAGCAAAAAAAAUAUUCAUAAUUGAAAUUAGGUGAUUUUUCUCGAAAUCGAAAUCAAACUCUCUUGCACUGAAUCAAUAUAAUUGAAAUUCAAAGUUUGAAUCCUAUUAAAGAGAAUAGAAAAAAUUGGCUGAGUUUUUAACUAUCUCUCAAACGGGGAAAAAAUAUAAAAUAUUGACAAGUAAAAGAUGAAAAUGGGUAGGAAAAUAAAAAUGGAAAAUGUGGAAAUGUAAAAAAUAGAGGGAAAAUGAAAAAGAAAGGCUGACGAAAAUACAGAUGGAUGGGCCAUCUAUAAACAAACAUAACCAAUCCCAGCGGCAGCGGUAGCGGCAGAGACCUGCAGUCCCCUCUACUGCUCUGCGCUCACCAACUUUCAACUUACUACUUAAUACAUAUAUAUAUGUAUAUAUUCCUUUUACCAAUGUUUUUUUUCCAAAUUGAAUGGGUUUUAAUUAAAAAAUGUUAUUAGUAAUUAGUGAUUUAAUUAGGAAUAACAAUAAAGGGCAAAAGAGUAUUAAGUGGGAAGUGUGAAAUUGAAACGAAAGACAAACAGGAGAGGGUGAGAGUGAGAAGUAAAGCCAAACCCCACGCGAACAACAAGCGAAAGCAAAGCCCACCAAAAAACAAAAGAAAAAAAGAACGAAAGAAAGAGCAGAAAUAGGUGUCUCUCUCUUGGACUGAUUCUUUUUCAUUUCCAUUUCCAUCUCUCUUCUCCCUAUAUAUCAAAAGAAAAGAAACCAUAUCAAACAAAGGCAAAGCCAAAAUGUUGGUGGUGAGAAACCAAAUUAAAGAAACAAGAAAAUUAGAAGAAGGGUGAUCUAUUCUCUUGUUGUUGAUCAGCUUUUAUCAUCCAUUCUUUGAUUGCUUCAUUCAUUCUUUCUUUCUUUCUUAUCUUCUUCAAACUUGAUUGCUUUCCCUUCACAAUCACAUUGCUGUAAUGGCCGUUCAAGCUCAGUAUCCUUCCAAUGUCCUCCUCUUAAACAGGUUUGUCUUUUUAUCUCUCUGCCUCUUCAUAUGAUUUCUCAUCUAUUUAUUUAUCUUUUCUGGGGUAUUUUUUUUAUAGAAGUGGACAAGAAGGGCAUGAGUUUUCGUUGCAACAACAAGGGGGAGGGGUUUAUGUUGAUCAAUCCCAUAUGUUCUUUAACAGCAGCAACAACAAUAAUAAUCCAAGGAAAAGAGGAAGAGAAAUGGCAGCGGUAGCAACAACAGCGCCCGUGAAUUCAUUUUCUUUGCAAACGCAACCGCCUCAAUUCAUAGAGCUUUCUCAACUCCAAAGACCAAAUGUAGUCUCCACGGGGCUCUGCUUAUCUUUUGGGGACCAACAACACUUGCACCAAAACCAAAACCAAAGUUAUGAACACCAACAUCAAAAUCUCGUUUCCAGCUCCACUGCUUUUCUGUCUAUAAUAUCUGAUGAAUUGGCUACCCAAAUCAAACGCCAGAGAGAAGAACUAGACCAAUUUCUUCAAGCCCAGGUACCAGAGUUUUCUUUCUUGAAUUGGUUUUCUUUUGUUAGGGAAAAAUGUAGUGACAUUUUAUUUUUAUUUUUUUUUGGGGGGGGGUUCGUUUGUUAUGGAUUAAAGGGGGAGGCAUUGCGGCGUACGUUAGCGGAGAAAAGACAUAGGCACUUCCGUGCGCUACUGGGGGCAGCGGAAGAAUCGGUGGCGAGGAGAUUAAGGGAUAAAGAGGCGGAAGUUGAGAAAGCAAAGCAGCGGAACGCAGAGUUGGAGACACGCGUGGCGCAACUUAACGUGGAGGCGCAGGUUUGGCAGGCGAAAGCCCGGGCACAGGAGGCUACGGCGGCUUCAUUACAAGCGCAGCUUCAACAGGCUAUAAUGAGCGGAGGGGCUGCCGCCUCGAUGCACGACAGCAGGAGAGGGGAGGAGGGGGUAAAGUGCGGUGAAGGGCAAGCGGUGGACGCCGAGUCGGCUUACGUGGACCCGGACCGGGUGGUGGCUUCAUGGGGUCCGGCAUGCAAGGCGUGUCGGAAACGUCUGGCGUCGGUGGUGCUGCUGCCGUGUCGGCAUCUAUGCUUGUGUACAGAGUGUGAUCGAGUGGCGCAAGCCUGCCCGCUUUGCCUCACCGCCAGGAAUUCUAGCGUCGAGGCUUUUCUUUCUUGAAUUUUUUUUUUUAAAGUCCAGAUUAAAAAAAAAGGGGGAAAAAACAAUUUGGAAAAAAGAAAGAAAAUCAAAUAGUAUAAACCUUGAUUAUGAUAAUAAGUUUUACAUUUUUAAUCAAAGUUUAUAUUUGGUUCAUAAAGAAAUUUCAAUAAAUCUAAGAUAAAUUUUUUGUAUAUGAACAAAUGGUAGAACAAGUUCAGAGGUUAUACAUAUAUAAUAUCACUAAUUUCGUCCGACAAAUUAUUCAAACUAAAAUAUUAGCAUCAUUUAUUCAUAAACCAAAAGAAUAUUAAAAAUGUCAAUAACCAUUACUUCAACUAUUUUCUUUAAAUAAUUGCUUACAAAAAUAAUCAAUUUAAAAUAAACUUAAUUAUGUUGUUUUUUUUCAUUAUUCUUCAAUAUGUUGGGAACACGAUAAAUAAUAUUUAGAAACAUUAAGAAGCAAAACGAGUAAAACGUAUAAUUAAUAAGGUUAAAUUAUUCUAUUAGUCCUUGUGCUAUGCGUAAGAUGAUUUGGUCAUUCAAUCUUAAUUAGACAAACUAAAUUCAUAAAAUUAAGUUAUGUUUUAUUUUAAAAAAAUUUAUGCAACAAAUAAAUUAUCACAUUGUAAUGCCAUAUCUAGGGGAAGGAAAGUAAAAGGAGAAAAGUUUUGAGAGGUUUGGGGGAAGGGAAGUAAAAGACUUUGAUAAAAUUUUGAGUCAAAUUAAAUUUUGCUCAUUCUUGACGAUAUCACCUUGCUAUUGGAUUAAGAUCUACAUAUUACUUAAAAAAGGACUAUAAACUAAUUUAAUGGUGGUUGUUUACAUCAAGACUAAAACUUUGAAGUUCAAAAAGUACAGGGAGUAAGAAUAAUUGACUUGGAUAACAUGAAUUAAUUCUAGAAUCUUAUGCCAUAGUACAAACUAAUGAUAGAAUUUAACCAAAUAAUUUGAGCUACUACUGUUUCGGUCAAGACUAAUAUUAAAAAAUUGAAAAUAUAGGAGCUAAAAUCAAUCAAUUCAAAAAAUACAUGCACUAGUAUUGACCAAAUUAGAGUACAGGAUUAAAUUUAUAAUUUCUGCAAAAGAACAGGGACUAAUAAUAAAAUUUGACCAAACAAUAACAUAUGAUUCAAAAUUGAAGCACAAUCGUGGAUGAAAUCACUUUAGGCAUCAAAGAUUAAGUUCGAGUCCGAUGCCACCCAGUCCUUCAAAUUUGUUGUAAUAAAAAAGGAUUAAAAUCUACAAUUAGAUCAUCUAGCAUAAGUAAUUCGUAGAUUUAGUAUUUAUUCUUUAAUAUUAUUAAUUUUUGUCCAUAUAUUUUUUAAAUAAUAGUGGUUAAAUUUAUUAAGCUGAAUUAUACUAUUUUUAAAAUAUUAUGCUACAAAUUUAUUGUCAUAUGUGUGUAAUUGUAUGUUAAGUUAUCAUUUUCACGUUAAAAAUUAUCAAAUUGGAGAAUAUCAACUAAAUUCAUCACUUCCAUCAAGGGCAAAUUCAAAAAUAUUUUUAGGGGUCGAAAUUGAAUAAUAAAAUUUUGAGAAAUCAAAAUAUAAUUUUAUAAUGUAUUAAUUUAUUAUUACAUCAUUUUUGAAAGGAUUAAACAUAUUUUUUUUUCUUUUUUAGGGGUCAAAGUCAAUUUUAUCAUUAAUUAAUUUUUGAUUUAAUUAUCUUAUCGAAAACAUAGAUAGCAUUUUUUUCAUUUGAGGAGGGUCCAAUGUCCUACAUGCCUCCUUCAUAUUUGCCUUGGACUUACAAAUAUACGAGACUAAUAGCAGGAUUUCACUUAAUGAAUUUAAUUACUACAAUUUGAAUCAUGAUUAAAUUUUUAAAAUUUAAUAAAUAUAUAAAUUAAAAUUAAUCGAAUUAAAGUUGUAGAUAUUAAAUCUGUAAAGUAAAAAAAAAUAACAAUAAAUUUUGACAACUAAUGAGGAAGUCUUGUUUCUAUUGACAAAAGAAAAGAUCCUGAAUAUUAACUAUUCAAAUUUGAGAUUCAUCAUAUGUAAUUAUAUACGUGAGUCUCCGAAUUCUACCAUAGGUACGUAGGUUUUAGGUCGAAUUGUACCAACUCUUAUCUGUUAUACUUGUAAUUAUUUAAUUCUUUGUAUUUUACUUGAUAAAAAUAAAAUAUUGAAGCACCAUGGUAUGAUGGGAUCCAAUUGAAAGAAGAGAAGCGAGGAGUGGUGUCAGUCCAUGUGUUGCUGAGCUAGCUGCUCAAUGUCUCCAUUACACACAUCAACUACCACUAUAUAUGAUAAUGCCUUUCAUUAUUGCCUUUUGGAGGCAAAUCCCUCAAAUCCAUACAGAUAAAUAAUAUUUGCUAGUAUUACUGUAGCUUUCUAAGAAGGAGGAAUUUGUGUCAAAAAUUACUGCUGGAUGAAUUAAAAGUUAAAAGAGUAAAUGUAAUUAACCAUAUGCAAAAUUGCGGAUGCAGUCCCUUCUUUUCAUUUGAAUCUAUCAAUUUAUAUGACAUUUUGCUACAUGAAGUUGAAGUGUAUGCCAUGCAACCACAGCGCUCCAACAUUAAAGGUAAUGAUGUACAUUAAUUACAUUCUAUAUACUGCUUGUGAGAUUUAAGAAAGAAGCAAAAGUAUUUUUUAUUAUAUUGAUUUUUUAAAUAUAUAUUGUGGAGAGUAGCUCACACAAUAAUCAUAUACAUGGACAAUUGAUAAUGCAGAAGAAUAGUUUAGAUAGUUAUAUAUCUUAAAAUUAGAGGUACCAUUAAAAGAAACUCAUAAAUUGCAUGAACUAUAUAAGAUAUUAACCCAAAUAAAAUCAAUAAAGUUACAAGUUAAGAUUGAUUUAGUUUCAAGCUAAACCUGUUAAGGAAUUGGAGGGAAUCAGGAUUCAUUUGUUCAAUAACCUUCUCUAAUUUAAUAAUUAGGCAACACCUCCUGGUUAAAAUUUUACACAAGUCUUCUUCCUAUAUUUAAAAUUCAAUCCCUUUGCUUCUAAAAUUUUAAAUUUUAGAUCCAAUUGUUAACAUAAUCAGAGUUUCUUUUUAUUAAAUUCACUAGUAUAACAUUUUGAAUAAUACAAUAUUCGUUUGAUAGGUAUGUAACAAAAAUAAUAAUAUUACAAUGAAACUAAAUUUAACAUAAAAAUUUUAACGGUGUUACGUGUUAAUAAUUAGGCUUAUAUUUUUUAUAUCCAAAAAGUAGAGUUGAUAAAUUCUUUAAAAUAAAAAAAAGGGUUAAAUUUCAAAUGUGAAAAAAAAUCCAAGUUCAUGAAUGGAGAAAUUAUCUCCUUUUUGCCUUUGAAAUUCUUGCAGAGCAGAUGCUUUCUUACAAUAUGAUGGACUUAUGAUAGACCCAAAAUUUUACCUUAUUACCAACUACUGCAUAUAUAUAUGAUAAUUAUCAGUGAAUUUGAUAUUUUGGAAGUAAUUAAACUUUGAAUAUAAUAAUGAAGCUAAGUGCAGUUUAAGAUUGGAUCAGAGGCAACUUUGACUGCGUAUCUAACAAGCAGAAGAUAAGCUGGAAUCUGGUUGUGCCUCAUCACAUGCCCAUCACAUUGCAUUGUCCGAUGCAAAAUGGGGGUAUUUUUCAAAGCUGUUUGAACUUUGAAGUGAAUAAAAGAGAAAAUUUUUAUUAAUCAAUUAAUUCCCCUCAACUACACCAAAAAACAAGUUUCCUUUGCCUUGAUUUUUCACUACUUUUUAUCCAUAUGAUUCCAACUUGUUUUGAAUGAAACUCAAGGGCUGUCAAAUGGGGGCAAACGUAGAGGACAAUGAAAUUAUAAGAGUUGCAGCAGUGCCCCCCCCCCCCCCCCCCCAAAUGCCUUGUUAAAGAGGGCUACAUGGUCCUCACUCAACAACCACACCCCUGCAAAAUGAUAAAAAAGACUUGAUAUAUACAAAACCUAGUGAGUGACCCAGCUCAUUGAAACAUAGGCAGUCCACGAAAGGAACACACAUACCUCGUUUUCAAUUAAUUUUAUUUUUAUUUAUUGAAGUGGGAACGCAAAAAAAUUUGUCCCUUGUUCUGGACGGUUUUGAUCACUAUAUAUGAAAUGUCAUUGGCAUCGUUUGUCCCAUUCUUGUUGUCAUAAACCAGCACAGUCAUCUUUGAUGGAGUAAAUGGACUUUUCUAUUGUUUCGAUUUUGCUGUAAAUAUGCAAGGAAAAUACAUACGAAGCUUCUUCUUUUUUUUAUUAAAGCAACUAAACGAGUACAAGCUGUAUUGCUAUUGGGAUACGAUGCUCAAUGGGGAUGGCAGUUUGACAAAAAACAGGGACAUGAAGGAACGAUCCAUUUUGCAUAUUUUGGAACCCUUUAUGACUAAGGAUGCAUGCUUUUCAGUACAGAAUUUGACACUUCAAUUUUGUUAGCUGUGGGGAAACCCCAUUUACGGAUUUAAACUUUCAAGACCUCACCAACGAAAACGUAUGUUCACCACUCAAGGUUCAACGUUAUUAUUCCACGUACAAUGGCUCACUAACAGUAAGCACACAACAGCCCCAUUUUUACCUAUAACUAGCCAUAACACAUUCCAACCCCUUAAAUAGGAGGAUAAAUGUGUUUCAACGCACUUGAACUCAUACCAGGGACUAUAACACCCCUUGCCCGACCUGAUUGCCGGGUCUAAGCUACUAAAUGUUACAAUCAGUGCCAGAACAACUAACACCCCUCGCCCGACCUGAUUACCGGGUCUGAGCUACGAAAUGUUACAAUCGGUUGCGGAACAACUACCGUCAAAUUUACAGUAAAUAAAAUCCUCCAAACCAUUCAACCAUAUCUUAAACACUUCACAUUUGGAACACAAUUAAAUCCGAGCCGUAAUCGAGUUUUACGAAAACUUUUUUAUUGACUCGAGCAUGAAAUAGGACCAAUUGUAAAGGUUUCAAAAUCUUAAAGAGGCCGACGUCGUGACGUCACAUCCUCUACGUCGAGACAGCACCAAACAGUUUGCCACAUUGUGCUCAGACACUCGCGCCACGUGUUACACACUUGUAUUGAAGGUCCUCUUUGGGACAUGCUAUUUUGAAAAAAUAGAACUAAACCAAUUAUGCAAAUUGUAAAGUUUCAAAAUCUUAAGGCCGACGUCGUGACGUCACUUCCUCUACGUCGAGACAUCACCAAACAGUUUGCCACAUUGUGGCCUCAGACCACUCGACGCCACGAUGUUACACACUGUCGACCAACUUUACGACGAGGAAGGUCGCUCUUUGGGACAUGGACUCUAUUUUUGAUAAAAAUAAACCAUUUGGUAUCUAUUUCAAGUCUUCCAACCAAACUAUACCAAUUAUGCAAUAAGUAUUAACUUAACUCAAAACAUACAAAACAUGACAAAAACAAGCUCAAUAACUAAUCUUUAAACUAAUCAAUUCUAAAUCAUCAACUAAGUUUAAACAAUACAUAAUACCAAUCAACAAUCCAUUCACUAACAUUACAUGUACCAAGUCAACUCAUGAACAUGACAUUUCUUAUCCCAUAUAUCCUAAAGUAUGUCAACCACAACAUGCCAUUUCAUUAGGUAUCAACCAUUGCUAAAUCAAGCAUAUCAAACCAUAUAUCAAGACAGCAUCUGCUUACAUAUACCAAGUUCAUAACAUAAUAAUUUUUACACAUCAAAACACCUAGACACAUGCCACAACAUUAAGGGUCCAAAACGAUUAAAUAUCUAUCGGUUCAAUGAUCGAAGAGUGUGAGCUUUUAGUUGGUCCGGCUUGACACGUUCCACGAGAAGAUGAUCUAAAAAGAAAAGGGAAAACAGACGGGGUAAACAUAUAUGAUGCUUAGUAAGUUUAUAUGCAUUAAACAACUUAUCUCAAUUUAAAAUUUAAUACCAUAAUCUAUUUAACUUGACAAGUUGGCAACCAUAUAACAACAAGGUAAGCUUAGCAUAUAAAUCAACUGUAAUAUGAUUUAAACAUAUACCAAUUCAAUCCAUUUCAAAAUCAAUAUCUUUGUAUCAUACUCUUAUUCAAUUUCACAUUUAUUCAUUCAAACAUCAAUCAAAUGUUAAUUCAUUUUCUAUUUUUCUUCCCAUUAGUUAUUUAGCCCGAUGAACUCUAGUAAACGUAUUUGGCUACAUAGGUAUCUCUAGUACAAUAAUUGCUCACCCGAGGUGAAUACAUAUUCAUGUUAGGUUACGAAACCUUUAAUGACACGUUCAAUUGUUUGGCCAAGUUGAAAAUAUACUAUAAGGUUACCAAUCCAAGCUAAACCUAUAACCUAACAUCAGGUUACCUGUCUAUAAAAUGACAUCAAGUUACUAGUCCAAGCUAAACAUGUGUCACAUAUAGCUUCGAUUCCACAACAAAUGCUAGAUCUCAGUUAUCAUCGGUAAACAAUCCAUAAAAAUGUGUACAAAACCUUUACCAAGUUCACCAGGACAUUUUCAACACACACACACACACACAUAUAUAUAUACAUUUCAUUACAAUUUAGUCUAAAUCUCACAUUUUGUACCAAAUCGCAAACAAUCCAAAUUUCAACCAAAUAUACACAUAUUCAUAAUCCAAAUACAUAACAAUUUAAUACAAUCAUGCCAUAUAAACUUUCCUGGUCAAAACGACAAAUAACUGAAUCUUUAAGGAUUAAUCAAUAAUUUUAUCUUUUCCAUAAUUAUCCCCGGUUUGGUUCAAUCCCUAAUCUAUUCAAUUAUUUAAUUUAAUUUAUCAACAUCAAACACUUUUAUAUCAUCCCAUAACAUGAAUGACCCGGUUUAAUUACAUUUUUCGGAUUCCCAUAAGUUUUACAUUUUAUUUAAUUUAGUGCCUAAAAAUGAAAUAACAAUCUUUCAAUUUUCAACUUCAAUUUUGAAAUCGAUCUCAAUUACAUCUUUUUAGGACCUUCUACUAUCAAAAAUUACAGAAAUUUCACAUUAAAUACUUAAUUUUUACACUUUGGUCCUUUUAGACAAAAUUGAAAAUUUACUGCUUUACAAUCUAGUCGUUUUUCACAUCUAAGCUUAAAAUCUAUCAAUUUAAAACCUAUUUCUUCAAAAACUUAUCAAUGGAAUCUUUUAAAAGCUUUAACAGUUUUACAAAUUGGUACAUGAAUUAGUUAAAUUAAGCUCCAAAGACCUUAAAAAUAUAAAUAUUACAAGAAAAAAACUAAAUUGAACUUACCUUUUAAAAACCGAAUAGCUUGAACUUCACUUAGGUUUUCCUUUCUUUAUUAUUUUAGCUUUUAUACUUGUAAUUAAAGUUUAAUUAAUCAUAAUAAUGAAUUAAAUCUUAAUUAACUAAACAAUUAAUUAAGUGGAUUUUGAAUAGCAUCCACCACCGUUUGAAUAAUUUAAAAUGUUUUAUUUACUCAGUUGGUCCUUUGACUAUUUAAAAAUCUAUAACGAUAAAUUUUUAUAAUUUAAUCAUUGUACCUUAAUUAAUUAUUAAUUCACCAAAAUUAAGGGACCAAACUUUAACAAACUUUAACACUAACCUCGUAAAUAUAUUAAAUAUAAUAUUUAAGGACUUCUACUACGAAAAUGGAUUCCAAAACUAUCGUUUCCAACACCACUGAAAAUCAGGCUAUUACGGGGUUGAAACUAAAGGCUGACAAGGACCUCGGCCCCCCAAAAUGAAAAAAUUCCAUUUAGGCCCUUUAGAAUUGAUAAAAUUUUAAAUUAGUAAUGGUAAAAUUGCACUUUGACUCCCUAAAAAUGAUUUAAAAAAUUAAUUUAAUCUUUUAAAACUUAUAAAGAUAUAGACCAUUAAAAUAGUGAAAUUACAUUUUUACUAUCAUAAAAUAUAUACAAUUUAAUUUCACCCCAAAAUAAAUUUUCAACUUUGCCCCUAGCUUAUAUUCUCUUGCACGAAUAAAAAUAUUGAUACUCAUCGAAUUAAAACUCCAUCAACAAAAUAAAAAAGAGUUUAAAUUACAUAAAAUCUUAUAUUAUAGUAAAUAUAAAUCUUAAUUAUUAAUAUAAUUCAAUUUAUACUGGAACUCAAAUCAUUGAGCCACAAUUGUAUUAUAAAUCAUUUAAUAAUCAAAUGCACUGAGAACAUUUAUUCUAAUUAAUUUCUAUGGUUUACUCGGCAAAAACUCAAUGUCUUUAAGACUAUGUUAUAUUAUAUACAUUGUAUUUUCUAUGUCGAAAUUUAUGCCUUUUUUUUUUUUAACAAUAUCAUCUCUAAGAAUUAAUUCUUCAUUCUCUUUGAUAAAUAAUGUCUUACUACUAAUCUCAUUUUGAUAGUAACAAUGUAAAAAGUUAUAACUUUGAAUAUAAAAGGCUUUUUAGCUAGAGCUAACCUAAUUAGCUUUUGGGCCAAAAGGGUAGGCCAUUAUGGUGAAUUUGGUGCGUACUUUUAAGAACCACUUGCUUUGAAAAAUGGGCUCUUCGUUAAUCAAAGUGGCUGUGGGCUUCACCUCAUGCCCAAUCAAAAGCAAAAAAACAAGAGAGAGACUAUUUUUUUUUUUUUUGCUUUAUUCUUGUCCCAUUGUUAUGCUUUAUUGAAGAACAGAAGCAAAAGCCGCCCCCCAAACUCAAAACAUACUUCUAAAAAUAAUACUUAAAAUAAUCAAGCUUAAUUAAAAAUAAACCCUUACUUUUACAUAUUAUAUAUAAGAGUCCUUAAAAAAGCAGGCCGACAAAUUCAAAUAUUGCAAGAAAACAAGAUGCAAAAGGACUUACUUUCGGAUGCCACCUUAAAGUUCCACAAAACAAAGAAAAAUGAAUAAACCAAAAGAAGAAUGAAAGUGAAAAAAGAAUAGAUUCACGUUUCAGAACAUGCCUGCUGCAUUGGAAGCACACGUGGGACUUUUAUAUCGUUCCACGUGGUUAGAUCUUUGUCGUUGUUAGAGCCUAGAAUCAGAUUUUUUACGCUCUACAAGUAAUAAAUCACAUGCCUAAAUGUUAACCACUACCUUACUAUUAUACCGUUUUAUUCUAUUAUUAUAUUUAUAAUAAUAUGUGAUUAUAGUAAUAUAGUCUUAUCAUAAAAUUUAUAAUUAAAUAACAAAAAUGAGAAUUAAAAUAACAAAAUUACAAUGUGUAUAAUAGAUGCAUAUAUUAUUGCUAUGUAUAUUUUAUUUUACAUUCUUUCACAUUAUUAAUUAUAAAAAUAAUAAAUCUAAUAAGUUCAAUUAAUCAAUAUGAGUUAUCAAAUUGAAUUCAUUAAUUUAUACCAAGUUACUAAAUUCAAAUAAUCAACUUUUAAGUUUAUAAUGUUUCAAAUUCAUAUUAGAAUAUUUAAUUAGGGAACUUAAUAGUUUCUUGAAUUCCACUUAUUAAAGAUUAUUUUCAAUUAAUAAAAUAUGAUUAUUAUAUUUCUUCACGUGAAAUUUAAUCAUUUUAGUGAAAUAACAUUUUAAUUAAGAUAAUUUUCAUUUAAUAAAUGAUAAUUAAUAUGUUUGCUUAUAAGAGAUAACUAUAAUUUUAAUUAAAAAUUUAGACUAUAUGUUGUUAUAAAAAAACCAAUCUAAUAAAUAGUGUAUUUCAUAACUAUGGAUGUUACUAUUAUAAGUGAAAAGUUAUUAUAGAGGAUUAAAAUAAAACAUAAAAAUCGUUUCUUCUGGAAACUGAAGAAACUUGACUGUUAUAGCGAAAUGUUGUUAUAUCAGAUGAUUGUUAUAAAGAAGGCUGAUUGUAUAUAAAAAGUCUAUUAACAAUUCCAACAAAGGUGUUGUUUCAUAAAUUGAAAAAUUAAGUGCUAAAAAAAUUAGAUAUUGAAUUUAAAUAAUAUAAUUUGGUUGGUAUAUUUCUUAAAAUUAAAUAUAAAAAUAUGAUUCAACUAUUUGAUAAAUGUAACUUUUAAAAUUUUAAAGGUAAAAUAAAUAAAAAGAAUUGAAAUUUUCGUUCUCUAUUUUUUCACAUUUAUUGUAUAUGAUUUUUAUAAAAUAAUAUGCAUAUAUUUUUUAAAUUGUAUAUGAUUUUUAUUUUUUUUUUAAAAAACUUAAUGUAAAUAUUUGUUUUACACCUGACCAUGAUAAUGCAUAUUAUUCUUCUAAAAUUUAGUAACAUUGAUGUGUUAAAUGAAAAAACUCAACUGAUAAUUUAAUAAUCUGUAUAAGUUUUCCAUUAGAUGUAAACUCUAAUAAGAGAAAGAAGCACUGUGUUUAUUUAAUAUUCAAAUUUUCCUUGAUUUCUUGGAAAUAAAUUUAGUAAUUUAUAAAACCAUGCAUCAUUAAUUGAACAAUACGUUUUACUUUUUUUUUUAGUACAAAAAUUGAUUAUUGACUUUUCAAUAAAUGUUAAUAAAUAAAUAAAAAGCAUACAAGUCAACUUUACCAUUUUUUUCUCCUGAAAGAGACAUUGGGAAUUGAUUGAGAAGCACUAUAUUUGUCACUAAUAAUUAUUUUUAUAUGACAAAGAAUCUUCUACCAAAAAAUAUCAUUUCAAUUUUAAAUAACUUAAUUGUGUACUUUUAAAUAAAAGAAGUAUUAUUUUUCAUUAUAUUUUAGUCUACGAGUUAGCUGUAAAUUAAUUUCAAUUAGUAAUUUUUAAUUAGUUGUAUGACUUAUUUUAAGAAAAAUUAUUAAAUUCAAGAGCUAAUCUAUAUAUUAAACCUUUAAAAAAUAAUAGUAUUAAUCAUAAAAAUUGACUUGUGUAACGGAUAUUAAUGUUGAGAUCAAUGUGAUCCAGAUAAAAUAUUAAUGGCCAAUUUAAGAGCUAAUUUAUAUAGAAAAGUGAAGAUUUCACCAUGCACCUUCUUUAGUUUCACGCUUAAAACAAUAUAAGGGAUAGUAAUAAUAUGUAAAUAUAAAAGGAGAAGAUUUGAUGCAUUAUCAGUACAUAAGUCUUACGAAUAGAGGUGUUCAUGGGUCAGGUUGAGCAGUUUGUUAGGUCUGGGCCUAGCUUGGCCCGAAAAAUUAGUUUAAAAUUUUGCUCAAACCUGGCUCGAAUAAAAAUACUAAAACUCAGGCUCGACCUGGCCGUAUUAAUUUUUUAUAUUAUUUUUAUAUAAUUUUAAAAUAUAUAUAAUACAUCAAAAAUACUAAAAAUAUCAAAAUAAAUAUUUUCUAACAAAUUAAAAAUAAAUUUAAAAAAAUAUGUAUACUUAAACAACACUAAGAUAGAUGCAACUUAAUAAGUAAAUGUCUUUAAAAUAAUAAUAAAAUUAACAAUGCCUCUAAAAUAAUAACAAAAUUAGCAAUAAAACAAGUUUUAUGUAAUAUUCAAACAAUAAUAUCAAAAUAGUAGUACAGUAAUAAUAAAAAUGGUAGCAAAUGGGAAGAAAACAACAAAAAAUAACAUUAAAAAAAUCAUAAUUUUUUUUGUCCUUUAGUGAAUUCAGGCUCAAGGCCAAAAAUGCCUUACCCGAGACCCAGCCCUUUUUUUUAACAAACCUUAUUUUUUGUCCAAACCCAUUUUUAGGGCCUAUAUUUUUAUUCAAACAUUCCCACAUUUCGAGCGGGCCUUUAAGCCAGGUCGGGUGGCCCGACCUAUAAACAGGUCUACUAAUUGACUAUUAAUGAAUAAUAAUAUAAUAUUUUAUCAUUAAAUAAAAAAAUAUUAAUAUUUCAUUUAAACAUAAUUAGGUAAUAAUUAAUUAUAAAUAAUAAUUAAAAUCCCAAACUUAAACCCUUAAAUUUAAUAUUCUAAAUUCGAGAGGUAUUAAUAUUUAUUUAUAAUAAUUACAAUUAAUGUUUAAUUAUGUUUAAAAAAUUAUUAUAAUUUAUUUACAAGUCUUCCAUAUUUUUUGUUUUAUUUAAUAAUGAUGUGUUGUGUUAUUAUUCAUUGAUGAUGUAUGACACUUAUACAACACGAAAAAGGAGGCAAAUUUAAAAUCACAUAAAAUUUUAAUAAAAAUAAUAAUAAACUAAUUCUAAAUUAUUCUUAUUCUUCGUUAAACUCAAGCUCUUGUGUCAAAUAAUUUGUACAAUCCACUUAUUUUUCAACACAUAAGACAACAUUUGUAAUUACAUAGAAAUUGAUCAAUUAAGUAAAAUUCAUGUCCGGAAGUAAUUAAAAUAAAUAAUAAAAACAUGUUAAUUAAGCGCAAUAUAAACUAAAUUUUUAAAAAUAAAAACAUAAGAACUAAAUUUCAAAUUUUGAAAAGAAUUAGGAACUGGUUACAUAUUUUAACCUAAAUAUCCAUAUUAGCUCUGUUUUCAAUUUAGGGCUUUCAUUUAUCUUCAUGUUACUCUCUUUGCUACCAAACUCUCGUUUUUUUUUUCUCCAUUACUGGUUUAAGCUUGAGAAAGCGUUUUAAAACAUAUGUUUUUUUUUAAUAAAAAUAAAUACAAAAAAUAUUAGAAGAGUAUCGGAAAAGGUAGAAUCAAAGUGGGGGAGCGAGUGAAAGACAGAUUUGGUGAAGUUAAUUAGGUGGUCCUACUAUCAACUACAGUCUAGGGGUUGUUCCAACGGCACCCACAAUUGAGUUUCUUUGGUUAUAAAAGAAUUAUAUGGAAAUGCAAAUUCAUAUUAUUAUUAUUUGUCAAUUUACCCCUACAAGACAAUUGAGAUUUUGAAUAUAUCUGGUGAGUGGUAAUUAAUUUAUUAAAAAAGUAACUGGUUUACAUAAUUAUUUUUUUAUUUAUUUAUUAAUAGUCAAUGUGAAUCCAAUUAAAACAAAUUGAUAUGAUGUGAUGGCGGGUUUAAUUAUGAUGCACAAAGUUGAACAAGAAAAAAACGAGUCCACUUUAUCAUAAAGUCAUUGAUUUAAAAUAUGGGAGAUUGUCAUGUCAUUGGAAUCAAAUCCCCUUUGUAUCUUUAUGCACUUGAGAUAAUAUCUGCACUUCCUAUGCAUGUGAGGGUUGCUCAAUCUUCAAUCUUCUAUAUAUUUAUGUUAUUCAACUUUGUUUCAAUAAUUGGAAUCAAUAUAAAUAACCACCAACACUUAAUUGUUUUGUAAGCUAAUAAUAAUUAUUUUAUUUGUUAUACAAAAAUAAUUAACUUAAACUAUCAUGAAUUGAUUUGUAAUUUAAAAAGAUAAUACAUAAUAUAAAAGAAAAAAAAAACAAAUGUAUAAAUAGAUGGAAUGUAUUCUUCAUUAAAUGAUAAGUCAUAUUUUAUAUAUUUAUCUUAUCGUAUGAUUUUCAAUGAAAAAAUUUCAUCAAAUGUUUUUAACUUUUAAAUAAUCAAAUUGUUGAAAUUAUUGGUUUUCAAAGAAUUGAAUUUCUUUUCCAUAGAUUGUCAAACAAUGCUUAAAUUGCAUACUUUGUUAUUUAUUAAUGAAAAUAGUUAAUAUUUAAAUUAAUUAUUUGUAUUUACUCAUUUUAUAAGGUGCGUUUGAUUUUCUGAUUUUUAAAUUACGUUUUAUAAUAAAUUUAUAAGAAUAUAAAAUUACAGGUGAAAUAUAAGAUUAACUUGUUUAACUUAUUUAAUUGAAACGUAAACAAAAUAUAUAAUUACCAAAGAGCAAAUUUUAUUAAAUUUUCCUUAUUAUAAAAUUUUUAUUUUUAUAAGUUCAACAUAUUUUAGGCUUAAAUUCUUCAUAAAAUCACAGUAGCUUAAAGAAACUAAAUUUUAUUACACAUUGAUCUUCAAUUGAACAACCAUUAAACUUAGUUUACUUAUAUGGUUUGUAAGUGUUUAUUUUAGAGACUUUAGUAACCUAAAAUUUACAAUAUAAACCUCUAAGUUUUCUUUUGUAUUACUUAAUGCGGUCUGGGGCUCCCAACGACUCUAAGAAAUUUGAGUUUUGAAAGAAAAAACCAGUUUGGGUUUGUUUCUUAAAAUAAAAUUGUUAAUGUUUAUGAGAAUCAAGGUUUUGUUUCGUAAUGGAAAUUUUAAAUAUGAAAUUAUACUCUAUACGAUUUAAAAAUUUAACACAUUUGAAAUAUUAAAAAUUCAAAUAUUGUAAUCUCAUUUUAAUUACAAAAUUUUAAUGUAUGAUUCAGUCAACAAAAAGUUAUCUUAAUUUUAGGAGAAUUAUAUUUUUUAAAAGAAAAUUAAAUUAUUUCUGACUCUAGAAGCACAUAUUUGAUAUUGAUUCUAGUGUCACAGGGCUAGAUUUUUCGUCUUGCGAUCUAUGUAGCUUUAGGCGAUCCGUUCACUUUAAGCUUGCCUAAAUCAACUUUUACUCCCAAAAGUGAGGAUUCUUUUAGAAUCCCUUUAAGAUAUUGAUUUGUAUAGUGGAAUCAAUUGUGCCAAAAGAAGUUACAAAAGAACAACAGAAAGCCACGAAAUAACACACAAAAGUUGUUUAAAUAAAUGCUCAAAGGUUUCUAUUACUCUUAAGAAUUCAACUUACAAUAGAUGAUUUACAAAUAAGGGGAAGGCUCUCUAUUUAUAGUUGAGCUCUCCCAAAACCGAUAGUCAAUAUCAAAUUACAUUGACGGACGAAAUUAGCCUAUACCUUAAUUUUGGGAAUUUACAAAACUACAUCAUAUCAAAUCAAAUCUACAAGAUAUGAUUCUCACAUUUACUAAAAAUAGUCUAUGUUGUUGUAUCUUCAUUAUCAGGCCAACCAAGUUUUAAUUUGACAGACUUUUCCAACAGUUCUUGAAAUCAGACUAAAUCUCAUAAGCUAAAUGAUUAUCAUCUAAUCGAUAGACUUAUACGAGACUUGUCCUAUGCCAUGGUCACAAUGAACGUUGAAAGCUAAACUGUGAGAUGGAGAGGGAAAAUUAAGGAAGAUUUUGAAACAUUUAAGUAAAAAUCAGAAGAAAGUCGUCUGAAAUUGAAUGCUAGGAAACCUAAAGGUAUGGGAACCCUAUUUCUCUUGCUCCAUGCAUCCUCUCUACUGCUGUUUUUCUUUUUUCAAUUAGAAGUCAAGCUCUGGAAACCUACCCCCCUGCCCCCUUUUCUCUUACCAAAAUCUGUGCUUUCCUUUUUCGAUACUUGUGUCUUAAAAUCACAUUAAAUACUCACCUGUUUUUUUAAAUUUCAUUUUAACUUCUUCGAUUAAUCUCAAAUUUCAUCUUUGAAUAAAUCUUACCUUGGGUACCUUAUAAAAGAAAAUGCGAAUCAUAUGAUAAUGUAACAGUAAUAUCUGUGUCAUGAUGUCUCAAAAAGUUACUUCACCAUAAAUUUGAAAUAAUCAUAUUUUUCUUUGAUUUAAAUUUAAAUAUGUUUAUGGGCAUUAUACUAUUUGAAUUUAAAAAAAAUUAUAUUUAAAAAAUUAAAGUUCAAUAGAUAAUAAUAAAUCUUAUUAAAUUUAAAUAUAUAAUAUUUUAAUAUUUCGAGUUUUGAUUUAAAAAUUAAAAUGGUCUAACUCAAAUAAAUAAAAAUUUAAAUUUUAAAUCAGAUAAUAAAAAUAAAAUUAUGAAAUUAAAAAGCACUAGGUAAUUCCUCUUUCCUUUUAUCAGGGUCUAAAGGUUUCGGGUCAGCCCAUUGAAAACGAAAACCCGAUCGUCAACGAUGAGUAAGUUGGGCGGUUCCAGAAGAUCGGAAAGGGCAUUUAUCGUUGAUGCAAUCUGAACCACGUCAUGGUUUUUAGAAUUCACGAAGCGAUAACAUAACAUUAUGGCGUAGCAGAUCACUGCUCUUGGCACCGUCAAAAAUUGAAUACCCAUCUGCCUCUGCAUACUGAUUACUGAGUAGGCAAAAAAUAAAAAAUUUGGUUGCGUAUUGAGUGCCACGUGGAAGGAAAGAGGAGAUGUUAGUGGUGUGGUGGUGAGAAACAUAGGCCACACGUGUACAGUGCAAAAUCACGGGCAGAGUGGCGGGGCUAACCGGGAUAUUCGGGCACUACCUGUGGUUGGAGAAACAAAAACCUCGGAACAAGUGCCGACGUUAAAGUAAUGACCCACAUCAUGCAUUCCUUUUCUUGUUGUUUAGCACUUUUUUUUAUUGUUUUUAUUAUUUUCACCUUUUAUUUUUCGUCGUGUACCGAACAAAUUUAAUAAAAUUCUUACAAUAUCUUUUUCAAAAGCUAACCAGUAAUAAUAAAAUUUUAAAUUUUAAAUUACUGAUAUCAUCUUCUACUUUAUUUUACAUUUGAAAUCUAUGUUAUUUCCAUUGAAUUUAUGUCAUUAAAAUAAGUUUUUAAGCGUAUAUAUUGUUAAUCAUUAUCAAAAUUAUUAUUUAAAGUAAUUUUUCUAUAAUUUUUUUAUAUUAUUAAUAUUUUAAUGAUUUAAUUAAUAAAUUUAUCGAUAGAUUUAUAUUUAUUAUGCAUAGAAAUUUUCAAAUUGAUUAUAUAUAUUUAUCAUAUAGAUCUAAAAAAAGUAUAUAUAUGAAUAUUCAUUGAAUGAUUGAAAAUUUCUUUUUACAAAAAUCAAAAUUAAAAUUUUUGAAUUUAUGUCAAAUUUGAGAUGAAUGAUCCAUAUGAACGAUAUAUGAAAUAUGAAAGUUAAAUUGUUAAAAUUAAUAGUUACAAAAAAUUAUAAAAUCAUUUAAUUUUACACUGAUAUAAAUAAAUUUCUUUCCAUUACAAAUACUUAAUUAAUUAAAUGAUAAUUCAAAUUAAUUUAUUCUUAUAAUUACCCAAGUGAAGCUCAAUCAUCAAGAUUUAAAAUUCCAAAAGUUCUACUUAACAUUUCAAUCAAACAAGGUUUAAACUCAAAUUUUUUAAUAAUAAUAUAGAUAUGUUAAGGGUAAAUUAGCAAUAUAUGUUGAUUUUGGAACCUUUGUUUUUUCUAUUUAAUGUUGUUUUAAACUUUUUUUUUUAAAUUCAAUUAAUAAUUAAUAAAUAUAUUAUUUUCAAAAUUUUUAAUUAGUCUCUUUAAUUAAUAACUCUUUUUUAUAUAAAUAAAAUAAUAAGCAUGUAAUUAUAUUAUAUAAAUAUGUUUUAUAUAUAUCAUUAUGUUAAAAAUAUUUUUAAUUAAUAACUCAUUUAUUUAUACCUAUAAAUUAAUAAUAUGUCAAUUCUAUAAUGAAAUUAUAUAUUUAUUAGUGUUAAAUAUAUUUUAUUUUUAAGUUAUUUGUUUGAUAUAUUUUUCUAUAUAUUAAAUAUUUAUUUUCUCUUGUAAGUAUAGUAAAUUUUAAUAUUAUAAAAUUAAAAUUAAUUUUUAUUAUAUAUUAAUAACUAAGUUAUUAAUUAAAAAGAUGAAUUAAAAAAUUAGAAAACAAUUUUUUAUUAAUUAAAUAUUAAAAAAAUGUAAAACAAAAAAAUUUAAAUGUAAAUAGGAAAAGAAUUAAACUUGAAAUUUAAGGAUAAAAUUACCAAUAUUUAACCAUUUAACCAAAAAAAUUAAUAUGUUAAGUUAUUAAAAGAAUACAUUUUAUAGAAUGUGUUUUCAAACACGUCAAGAGAAUAUACUUAUUGCAAGAUGCGUUUUAUAUUUAUUUCCAAAAUUAACUGAUUUUCCUAAAUCUACAUUUUCUUCAAAUUUAUCCAAAAUGUUAAAUGUAAAUAAAAUAAGUUAAUUUUAAAAAAUGUAAAUAAAUAACAUUUGAGUUUGACCGGUGAGAUAAAUAAGGGGUAAAAUACCGGGUAAACACCUGUCCAUGCUAUAAGACUUUUUUAGCGUUUAAAAUAAUAAUGGUCUAUUCUUCUUUACUAAAAAAAAAACUAUUUUCAAUGUACAAUUGAUUGGAGAAGAAAUGUAUAUAUGACUUUGUCUAUGAGUGAUUUGUUCUUUUUUCUUAUGAAAUGGUAUUAAAUAUUUUUGUAAGAUUUUUUUUGGUUCAAUUUUUAUGUAAAUUGAUUGGUAUUGAUUUUGCUAUAUAGCAUAAAAAAGAAUUCAACAAUACUUGAUUCCAAAUGAAAACGAAAAUGGAAAACAACUGGCAAUUAAAUAAUUUAUGAUAUUAUUUAAUUUAGCUUUUUUAAAAAAUAAAUUAUUUCAAGGAGAGGCUCCUAUCACAAUAGGACAUCAAAGGCCAAAAAAAACCAUGGCAUGGAUGGCAUCAUUCAUAAUCAUCAUUAUCAAUGAUAAAAAAAUAAAAGGAAGAGUAUGGAACGCGUGGUCCCUACUUUCGAUAGGUUUUUGGGAGGUGGGUCCCCCGUGGAGUUGGAAAGAGAAAGGGUCAUGAAAACGACAAAAUAAUUAUGACCCAAAAAAUAAUAUAAAUAAAAUAAUUUAAGUAAAAGGCCAAAGAAUGACGUUAUUAAGAGGUUGAGUGAAAGGAGAGGCGGUGAGGAUACCGUGAAAUUCCUUUUUUUUUUUGUAAAAUAAAUUAACUAUAAUUAUUUUAUUUUUAAGAAAUUAUUUUAAAAAGGGGGAGUUUAGUGUGUAGUACAAAGUACAGUUGGAGGGCUUCUUGGAAGUUAAAGACAAGUCAUAUUCUCAUUUAUGGCGCGUGGGUCUAACCCACUACUCAUUACUUGCAAGUUGCAAUGCUUUCUUCUUUUUUUUCUUAAUGAUUAGAUUGUACUCUUUUAAACUUUAAGACUUCUUUUUUUUCGAUUUUGCCCAAAAAAAGAAAAAAUUGAAAUGUUAUGAAUUUUCCCAACUUUAGUGAAAGUGGGGCAUGUUACAUUUUGGAUUAUAGUUGUAAUGUUGCAACUAGUUAUGAUACGAAACAAAUUCAAAAUAGUGUUUGUUUAAGGGAUUAAACUUGGCAUACAAUUACAGCAUAUGACAUGAUCAAGGCUUAAAAAUAAACUAUAAGAUCAUACCCUUUUAAGUAACCUUUGCUUGGAAUCCAAAAAUUGCCCUACAUCCACACCCCCCCAAGAUAUUUUUUUCUUCACCUUUGCUCACAUGAACAUGGCAUGCUUGCCCCCCCCCUCAAAAAAAAGGUGAGAUUUAUCAACGAUUAAUUAAAAAAAUAUUAUUUUUACUCAAUUUUUGAGAGCAUUUUGCUAUUUACCAAAAGGGAACUAAAUGAAAAAUUAUUGAUUCUCAAUAAAUCUUUUAAUGAAGAGGGACAAAUAGGAAAAAAAUUAAAAAGCAAAUUUUAAGUUUGGACCUUUUGAAGUAGUGUUUGGAGAGAGAGAGAGCACCCACAACGCAGAGCAAAAGAGGAGCCGAGAAUAUGGCGGUGUAGUCGUUACGUUAACGCGCAGUGGACUAGCGUGGUGUCUGCCUCAGAUAUUGACGUAACGUUAGAAUAUGGAGUGUGGGGCUUUGUCUUCGAAGAUUUAGUCCAUAACACGAGACUACCCAUUUUCUUCUUCUACCCCUCUCUUCUUCCCCAAAUCACCCAUUUGCCAUUUUGCUUCAUAUUAAUUUCACCGCAAACUUGCACUACUAUUUAAGUAAAAUUUAUUUUUCUAAUAUUUUUAUUGUAUAUUUAUACAAGCAAUUUUUUUAAAAAUUUAAGAGAUGAUGUCUUUAUUAAAAAACAAUACAUUAUAUUGGGGAAUGGGAGAUGAUUAUAUGAAAAAUAAUAGUUCUUAUCCGUUAAGAAAAAUCUGAAAAUUAUAUGUAUAUAAAUUAAAGAUAGUGGAAUUAUGAUUAAUAUUUAUUAUUUUUAUGCAAUAAACCUAUUUAAUUAUGUAUUAUUAGAUCAAAUUCUUUUAAUUAGCUUUACCAGAAAAUUUUAAAUUAUUCAUAAAAUAUUUUCAUAAUUCUAUGAUUUAUUGCAGUUGUGUAUUGUUUCCCCUAGUACCUAACUAUUUCUAGAAAAUUUCUAGGAUUUUUAAAAAAAAUUUCUCAACCCAAUGGCAUCAUAGUAAUUAUAAAUCUAAAUGAAUGGCAAUAACCGGAAAUAAUCACAAACUUGGAGAUGCAGGUAUUUUGAGCCAAUGGAUUCACUUGCACGGACUCCUAAAACCUGCCACUGUUUAUAAUUUCUUUUAAGGUAUUUUCCCUCCCAACAAAGAACAAAGCCUCUCCCCCUAUAAAACUCUACCCUAAAUUUCUUCCCCCACUCGUCUUCUUCCUUCUCUUCACCCUUUCAUUUUCCGAUUUCCUUCAAGGAUCCGUAAAGGCCAAGCCGUUAUUUCUCCAACAGAGAGAAAAUACAAAUGGAGUCUUCAGGACCUUCAAGGAGGACUUGUUUCAUCCAAGAAGAUGAUGGAUUGGCUUCCAUUGUAGAUAUGGAGGCUGGAUAUUCAGGAAGCCAUUACCAAAAGGUUAACCAAAAUGGGUUUCUUUCAAGACCUCUUUGUUACUCUAGAAGGAGUAGUUUGAGGAAUCUAUCUUCUUUUUCUUCGUCAUCUUCUUCUGGUUCAGUUUCUUCUCCGAGGCCUGCUCGCUUUUAUGAUGCCAGAUUUGAAGACGUUCAUCAACCCUAUUUCUUGGAUGUUUGCUUUCUUUGCAAGAAGCCUCUUGGGUGUAACCGUGACAUCUUCAUGUACAGGUUCGUCCUUAAUUUUCAGUCUCUUAGAAAGAAAGAUCAGAAUUUUGGGAAGGUCGAUUGGAUCUUUCUAUGCAUAUUUGCUUAAUGAAUUUUCCCCUUUAAAAAUUUUCUUAUAAGUCUAGUAGACAGAUUUGGUUUUUGCUGAUUGGUGUUUGGUUUUUUUGCAGAGGGGACACACCUUUCUGCAGUGAAGAUUGCAGACAAGAACAAAUCGAGAUAGAUGAAGCUAAAGAAAAGAACAUGAACCUUUCUUCCUCAGUGAAAGCUAUGAGAAAAAAGGGCCAAAGGGAGUCUACAUCUCCGAAUGAAGCUCAAGGUUACUCUAUUCGAACUAGCACAGUUGCAGCUGCUUAAAUCACACCACAAAGGAAAUAAACAAAAACAUAUCUAUAUAUCUAUAUAUAUAUGAAUAGUUCAAAAAAAAAAAGAACAGAAGAGAAAGGUGAUGGAGAUCAUUAAUGAAGAAAAGGGCCAAGGAGAGAGGAGAGGAUGAAGAAAUCUAUAUUUUGAGUGGUUUGUUAUACCCUUUAUAAAACAUACUGCUAUAGUUUUAGCUCUGUGAAUGUUAUAUCUAUAUGAGGAUAUGAAAUUAGCCUGCCCAGGAUCUACUCUAUGAUAUGGCUCCCUUUUUCUUUUUGGGGUUUUUUGGGGGUUAAUUACUGGUUAGAUUUUAUUUUUUUGGGGUUCUUAAGAAAUGUUAAUGCAUCACGAAGAAUGAUGAGAACUGUUUUUUUUUCAUUUCUAUUUUUAGUAUCACUAAUGUUUAAUGAAAAUGACAUAAAUGGAACUUAUUGAAAAAGCUGUUAAUUUUGAUUUUCUAUUUCAUUGUUAAGGUUAUUUGUUAUUGCACUUGCUCAUCUUUUUUUCCCUAUUGAGGCAUCUUAAGUUGAAAGGGUGAAGUGGGAAUAUGGAGAAAGAAGGAAAAAGUGGGUUACUUUUUCUGGUAAAAAAGCAUUGCUUCCUAUAUCAGAAAUGGUGGGUGUCACUGCCACAGCCAGAGUUCCCACCAGGGAAACAAUGGCUGAGGCUUCAUCAUCAAUUGGAAUUUCUUCUUUCUACCUUUUGGGACCAUUUUGGACCUAAUUGUAUUGGAUGUGUAAAGCACAAUUUUUUACUUUUAUGUUGGAAUGUUGAAGAAUGGGGAAAUGGGUUGAGAUUUCUAGAGACCAGUACCAAAGAUCUGUGUGGGAAUUGAUGAACUAAAGGCCAGAGGUCGAGAUGAUUAUUGAACAAGGCUAAAGGGGGUAAAUGGUGAUGAUUUUUAAGUAAUCGCAGUUCAACCAGAAGUGAUUGGAGCCAUUGUUUUGAGUUAUGGACAUAAGACUAAACAUUUAGUAUCAUCACACCAAAGAGCUGAUAGCGAGGAAUUUAGGGUUGGGCUUUACAUUUAAGAGGGUCUAAACUGAACUCUAAAGGUAAAAAUAACAUGGAUUCUUGUAGGGGCCAACCCAAGGGAUUAAUGAUAUACAAGUCCAUGAAUCCAAAUGGCCUGCCAUGAUGCCUUUAUUUUCAUAGAAAAUCUAGUCAAAAAACAUGUAGCCAGAAUUAUUUUAAUUGGAUCUCGCAAUUCAUUCAUUUAUUUGAUUUAAUUUUAAUCUAAUCAAGUUUAAGGUGUCAUGUAAGGUAAUGGAAAUACUCUUUUUAAGUUUCAAGACAAUGUGAGGAUGUACAAAAUGGUUUUAUCAUGUGGAAGAAACUUUACGAUGUACUAUGAUUUUAGUUGGCUUUGGUUUGAAUUAGAUGGAUUUAUACUAUAAUAAAGAUUUUAACUAAAUUUAGUGUCAUUUGAUUAGAUGACUUAAUUCAAUUGCUUUUUCUAGAAAAAGAUGGAACUGAUAGGAAAAAUAUCCGACAAAGCAAAACAAUAAUAAAAAUAAGAAGUCUAUUUAAAUCCAAGUCAUUAGGCUUAUUCCAUAUAAUUUCUAAACUCGAUAAUUUCUCAGAAUAAACAAUACUAACAAUAGUAGAAGGACAAAUAGUGUAAUCCAUGUAAUUUAUUAUCAAUAAAACCCCCUUGUCAAAACAUGGACAGUCUUAUUAGCAUCCCUGCAAAUUGAAAAGAAGGAAAAGAAUUGGAAAGCAGAGUCAAAUCCAAUCCUUUAAUAAUAAUCCAGAAUUAGAGGCAUCCACGUAACCAUGAUGAAAAGUUCGUCAAAGCCCUUGACUAUCAGUCUCUAUUACAACAUUGUCCAAAUGCAAAGACAUGAGGCAAGAAAGGGCCCCCGUUACAGCAAGAAUUUCUGACAAAAAAGGAUCAAGUGUACUCUCCAUGAAACCCGAAAUACAUUGCAUGAAGUCACCUGCAUCAUUUUGCACAACCACCACCCAUUGUGAGCAAAAGUGGCCCAUCAACAUUAAAUUUUAUCUUUCCCUUUCCAACCUAAGAUAACAAACAUCCCUCACGACCAUCGCAUGCGAAAUCGAUUAAAAAGUAUGAAUCAAAUAUAAAUAUCUAUUUACUUUAAAAACCUCGUGUACAUAUAUAUUUCAAAAGGAAUUUUUUAAUUAUCACAUAUAUUGUUUUUCUUAACGCAAAUUUAUAAGUAUAAACACAAUGAUAUAUUAUCCACAUAACUAAAAAUACAAAUACAAAUACAAAUAAAAAUAAAAAAUAAAAUGACAAAAUAUAAUUGAGUGGAAAAUAAAAUAUAUUCUAAUAUAAACUAAAAUGAAUAUAAAAUAAGAUAAUAAAGUACAAUUAAAUACCAAUAAAUUUUUAGUGGAACGAUAAGACACAUUACAUUUAAAUUUAUAUAUUAUUAAAGGUGAGUUUAAAUGGACGACGCAUUUAUUUACGGUUAGUGUAAAAACUACGGUGGUAAUAAAAUUAAAUAUUGUAAUAUGAAAUAAAAAGUAAAUUAAACGCAGUCUAAAUCCACACUAAGACGACUCUAAAUAUAUACCAUAAAAAAAGUACACACAGUUAAGUAAAGACGUGAUUAGCUUAGACAUGAUUUCUCUUUCUCAAACAUUAAUUGAUUACUUAAUUUUUCUUUUUAUAAAUGGGCUUGUGUGCUGGCAUUUCUUCUAUAAAACAAAUCUUAUCUUCUAGGAAAAUUAUUUUUGCAAAACCAAUAAAAAGUACAACUACUUUCGAAUCUCUUAUAUUAAGAUUUAAAUUGUAUUUUAUUCAUUUAUUUAAAAAUAAGUAAAUUAGUCAUUGUAAAUUAAAUUAAAAAGCAAAUUGGUCGUUUUUGUUAAAAAUUUCAUUAAUUUCUAUUGUUAAAAACCGAUAUUGCUAAUGAAAUAAAUAGAUAAUCACACGUGACAUGCCACAUAUACCUAAUGAUGACAUAUAAAAACUAAUUUUUAAUAGUAAAAAUAGAUAAUUUUUUAAUAGAUAGAGUAGUUUGCUCUUUGAUAGAAUAUAUAGUCACUAAUUUACCCAUUUUUUAGUAAAGGGGUAAAAUGUAAUCCAACUAGAAGUGUAAGGCCUCUAUGAGAAUUUUACCACUAAUAAAAUAUUUACCUUAUAAAAUAGAAGUGGGGAAGCUGGUGAGAAAUUAACAGAAUGGUCACAAAAUAACAGUUGAAACAGUUAAGGCCAUCCACGUGGCGUGAGGUGUAUGGUUGAAGCUCGUCGGCAAACUUGAAGUUUACAUUACCCGCUUAAAAACGGAAGUUAGAAAAAAUCCUCUACUUUCUCAGAAUAGAUCACAUCGCAGUUUCUCAUUUCCCUCGCUUCACUUAUUUUGUUCACAUAUGGACGGACUGAUCAAGGGUUUACUGGACGUCGCUAUUGGCCACGAGGGACAUAAUGAGUCUCAAGAUGAACGCCCCAGAUCCAGUUCGGCGCAGGUUAGUUUGGAUUUCUUCUUCUCAUCUUUUGAUUUCUUAUGUUAUAUCUUAGUUAAAAAAGAAAAAAAAAAUUGCUGAUUGAGUUUGAUAAUGUUCGCAGGCGGUGUCAGGGGAUCAGGAUCACCAACGAGAUGAACGCUCCAGAUCCAGUUGGGCGCAGGUUAGUUUGGAUUUCUUCCUCUGAUCUUUUGAUUUUUUUAUGUUAUAUCAUAGUUAAAAAAUAAAAAAAAAAAUUGCUGAUUGAGUUUGAUAAUGUUCGCAGGUGGUGUCAGGGGAUCAGGAUCACGAAAAACAGGUUUUCCGUUUAUUUGAUGAAUAUUGUCUCUUGUAUCUGAAAUUGGAGCACGUUGAAGUGAUGGUUCAUUGUUUUAUUGUUAAUUUGGGAAUUUUAUUGAUUUCGUAGGUGCAGAGUCAAUGGCAGGGUUCGGGUUCAAGACCUUCGGGGAGGACCCACAAGGUAAAUAUCGAAAAUUUCAUGGGUACAAUUCUUAAGAGUUGUAUAGAUUCAUUUGCUCUUUGUUCUUUUGGGUUGGAUAUUUGAAAUUUUGAUCGUUACCCUAAAUCUGAAUGCGGUUUAUUAUCAAAUAUCUAUAAACCUCUAAUGCAGACCGAGUAUGGGGGAUAUGAAAAAAAUGAAGGUGAUGAGCGACGACAUGGUUAUAACCAAAAUAAGUGGAACAGAAAGGUUGCCUCUUGCUUUUGAUUUACUGGUCUAUACUUUUUUCUUUGUUUUAGUAAAAUCUAUAUUUGUGUGUGCACUGACUUACCCCAAAUUUCGCAUACAGGAGCAAGGAGAGGAGAAUAAUGAUGGCUGGGAAACUGUUGGCAAAAAGCCUCGAAGACGGCCACAAAAGGUGCGUCACUAUUCUUUCUCUGUUUUUUGAUAUCUCAAGUUUUAAACUGACAAAUACUAAUGCAGUUGCCGUCUUGGUGUCGUUUCUCUCAUUGUUUUAGAUUUACAUUUCUUUUAAGUUGAACGAAUUGUGUUAAAUUUUUGUUAGAAACGCGUAGAUGUUUGAUGUAUAAUAUAGCAGUAGCACAAUGACAUUAGAUUUAUUUGCAUUAGGUAGAUUAGUAUUUACUUCAUUCCUUACUAGUUUUUCUCUCCAAUAUUUUUAACCAUUAUCAACUUUGUGAGGGCGAGCCUUGGUAGCAAUGUGAACUUGAUCCUUGGUAACUGGAAGGUCAUGGAUCCAAGUAGUGGAAAAGCAGGGAAAUGCUGCGUAAGAUAAAUGACUGCCUCAACCCUCACAAAGCAGGGAGCCUUGUGCACUGGGAAAUACCCUUUUGUCAGCUAUGGCAUUUGUAGAUGACUUCUAUUUGUUUUAUCUGGGGGUUCUGUGGUCAUUCUCUGUUUUGUUCUGUUUGAACCACCGUGUUUAAUAUUUUUAUGAAUGAAACAUUUGCAGGUUAAUAUGGAUCACUGGCAAGGGUAUAAACGACCUCCUAGUGAGCAAGAAUACUCUGAUGAGGUUGGAACUGGUACUAGCAUCGAACCUUCAGAAGAGGAACUUGCUGACUUUUUGCAAGCUUGCAACAGGCUGUGGCAACUUGAUUUAAACCGUCUGGAACCUGGAAAGGAUUAUCAAAUUGACUGUGGUGAAGGGAAGAAGGUUUUCCAGAAGGAAGAUGUGGCAGAAGGAAGCCUAUUUUGUUAUGUUAAUGAGGACAUUUUUAGAACAAAACCUACAUUUGCUCGUUUUUGUUCUCUCUUGGAUAAUUACAACCCAAAUGCUGGGUGCAAGGAAGUUGUUACAUCUGAGGAGAAACAAGAGCAGGCUGCAUUUAUCGAAGAAAUCAGUAGAACUGCGCCUAUUCAAUAUCUUCACAAGUACCUGUCUCGGAAGGGCAUUGUAUCUGAAAACUAUCAAGAUUUCAAAAGAAUGUUGACAAGCCUAUGGUUUGAUCUUUAUGGUCGAGGAGGUACAUCUGGUUCCUCUUCUGCUUUUGAACAUGUUUUCGUUGGGGAAAUCAAGCAACAUUGUGAGCAAGAAGUUAGUGGCUUCCACAAUUGGCUUCAGGUGUGUUAAUGUAUCUUUUAAUUGUUUGUCAAUUCAACUAGGUUACUGCAAUCAUUAGUUCAUGACCUGGUUUAUUUUAUACCAUCGAGUUGUCUGGAAGCAAUACUGAAAUAUAAUAAUUUUCUUAGAAUAACUUUUCAUUUACAUCUGAUGGAGCAAAAUGGAAAAGGUUCAUUAAAAUUUUGAAAUGUUGGUUGCAAUGCGUUGGUGAUAGUUAUAUCCUCUUUACGUCUGAAGUAUUUAAAAUAUCAAUUUCUACUUGCUAGUAUUUUAAUAUGUUGCCAACCCUUGUCACAAGCAUACCUUAAUACAUUUUGUUUUCAGAAGUUGAUAUUUAGGUGCCAUGUAGUAGAUGUGUAUUGCUAAUCCUUUAUUACGUUUUCCAGUUUUACCUAGAAGAAGCAAAAGGAUGUGUUGACUAUCAUGGUUAUAUAUUACCCCGAAGACGUGGGGAAACUGUAAGUCUCAGUUUGACUUGUUUCUGUUUCUCUCUGCAUCUACUGCAUUUUAUGCACUCUUCUAAGUUUUGCAAUAAAUGGAAGAAAAAGAAGAAAGUUCUUUGUAAUCACAUUUGAUAAAGAAUUGAAGUUCUAGAUCAUUGUAGUUAAUAAUAUUAGGUUGAACUAGGAGGAAAACGUUGUUCACACCCACUUUCAAUAUUUAAUAUCACUCUGCAUGUGUUUCUUUUGCAGCCUGACUCCGAGACACAGUUGCUAACAGUUCAGUUCGAAUGGAAUGGGGUUCUUAAAUCCGUGUCAAGUACAUUGGUUGGGGUGAGUCCUGAGUUUGAAAUUGCUCUCUAUACUCUGUGUUUCUUCGUGGGUGGAGAGGAUAACUAUGUACAGCUGGGUCCAUACUCUGUUAACAUCAAGUGCUACCGAUUUGGAAAUAAAAUCGGUUCUGUAUUUCCAAUAGCAGAAUGAUGAUUUUCAGCUCUGUGUGUUAUUAUUAUUAUUGUCCAGAAGCUACAGAAACACUGUAGACAUCAUGUUCAUGUUACUGUCUAACUUUAGUUUAUGAUAUAUCAUAACAUAUCUUUUACUUGGAUCUUUUAACUUACAAAAUUGAUAAUUAUGAUAUGUGUAAAACUUACAUGCUAUGUUGAUAUGCAUUCCCCUAUAGCUUAAUCUUUAUGAUGAUUGAGGAAUCAAAAUCUGCAUAUAGUUCUGAACUAGUGAGUUUACCAUGUGUUACUGGUUUGGAGAAUUUCUACCUAAGAUUUCAACGAAAUUGGGUCGUGCUUGGUCUUGACAGUGUUCCACCCUUAGGCUUAGAAGUUAAUGGCCAAAGAACUGAUUGUUGGUAAAAUGGAAAUAACUAAAGGAGACUUUGGCCUCACCCUUUCACACUCAUUUGUAGUCAUCAGCUGCACCUGUUUGUUUCUUCUUCUUCUUCUUCAUUCUUCUUUAUUGUUGUUUUCAUUUUUCAUUCAAAUGAUAAUUCUCAAACUUGUGUUGGUGAAGAUUGAUUAGAGAAAGGCUUUAGGGUGUUGUUUGAUCAAGUUGGGGGGGGGGGGAAUUGACUUGUGAAAAUGAUGUUAUGGAUUCUUUCUGUAUCAUUAAAAGGAAUCAAUCGUUCAGUGCCGUUUAUAUAUUACAUGCAGAUGGAAAAAUAUCCUAAGCAGCCAUUAUCAACGUUGGUUGAAAAUAUCUUUUUUGAGGGUUCAUCAGAUAUUUAUAAAGGAACCCCUCUUUGAGCUAAGUUAAAAAGAUCAAAUUGCUAGCUUCUUGAGAACCCAAAACUUAAAAUGGAAAUAUCUAACAUGAAAGAGAGGACAGCAACUCUCUUCUUAUCACCAACAUGUUCAUAGGUCAAUUGUCUGCUUAUAAUAUUUCACAGAAAACUAUCCCUCUUUUUCUAUUGAUAUCUUGAUAAGAGUGUACUAUGCCACAACUAGUUAUGGCCGUUAGGUGAACACACACACACGCACACAAAGUUGCAACGAUUAACACAAAAUAAUCACAAAAUAAUCACAAAAAGAGAUGAACAUCAGUAUGACAAUUUCAAAGUGGUGUAAUUUCAUUAAAUCAUUCCUUUUGCUUUAAUAUGCUUCUGAAAUAGUUGACUUCUGAGACAUUCCAAUUAAAGAUGGUUUGUUCAAUGUCUUAAAUCUAUACCUAAUAAAACUGUCCUCUACGAGGAAAGAAAUUAGGUAACCAACUUAUGUUACUUAAUUAUCCAAAGCUGCUGGAAAGGACAGCAAAAUGGCGUAUCCAAUAUGUACUCAGAGAUGAAAAUAAAGUUGCGGAUUUUCUUGCAAAAAUGGAUCGUAGUAAGGAAGACGUGUUAGUUCUGUUUGAACAACCUCUGUUAGGGGUUUUAGUUUAAGUCUCUGCAAAAAAAAAAAAAAAAAAAAAAAUCCAAAGCUGAUCACUUAUUAAAAAAAACUGGGAAAUUUUUGGGGGGAUCUUGUUGGCAUUGAUUGUGAAAGAAAAGAGCAAUGUCCCUACUUGAAAUUUGAAAUGUGAAACCAGUAGGGAAAUGGGGUCGUUUUUUCCCUCUUUCUUCUGUCCACAACACUCACGUGUAUAUGUAUAUCUAUCAAUUUGCUCCACAAAACACACGUAAAUGGUGAGCAUGAGAAUUGAAGAACCUGAUUGGCUCAAAAUAGCUAAACCUCAAUAGUCAAUAGUCUUCCCCCAUGCAAAACGCCAAACUUUAAUCAGCCAUUGACGUGUCUCCUCUUUGGCACCGACAACUCUGACACCUCAUUUCUUGCAUUUGCAUCUUCAUUUGUUUCCUUCCUCAAAUCUCAAACCCACACAUGGAUGCUAAACCAGCUAGCCAACACGUAUUGAUGACAUGGACGAAUUUUGUUCCUAUCUGCAACAUUUAACAUUUCUGAUUCAACUGCUUGAUUAAAGUACUGUUUAGCAUAUGAUAUAUUAGUAUAAAUCAUUUGGAUAUAUCAAUAUAAAUGGAAAGAAAAUUCCAACAAAAAAAGAAAGCACAGACUUCAACUACAGCCACAUGCAUUUCCAAAUGAAAACGGAUUCUCCAAUCUUCUUAUCCUGAACCAACCAAAGCCAAUGAAAAUUGAAAUCCUAUUAACUUGUCAGCCACUAAAAUUCUCAUAUGCAAAUUAGAGGCUAACUGGUUUGCAAGUUGCUAGAUCAUUUAGUUGUCAACCAAGCUAAUAAUUUUAUUGUAAAGAGUUACUUAUUAUCACCAGUAUGAUUAUUUUACAUAACUGAAGAAAAUAUAUAGAAAAUUCACUUCAUUCCCAUGAAUAAAUGAAUAAACUAUUGAUUAAGGCCUGUUUUUUAUUCACCAUGAGUUGUGCCAUUAACAAGAUUCAAAAUAUCUCUUCUAAAGAUAUUUCUAUGUGUGCUUUAGUGUAUGCCAUUGCUACUUACUAUUGCACAUAACACUUGUUGGUAACUAUUUUCCUUUUUAUCCUAUAACAAAGAACAACCAAAUUGUGGAUAUAUCCACCUUUAAUAAGCAAAAUAAUCACCAAAACCUACACCCAAAGGCAUUCAGUUGUUCCAAAAGAGGGUAUUCGUGACCUUUAAAAACUUAAAACUUUUAGGAUCUUCAUUUUGUGAAGCAUGGACAUGGAAUGAUCGCGUUUUAGAUAAUGACCUUUGAAAAGUUGAGGUGACUAGUUUGAUCUUAUGCACUUUUUCCCUUUUAAACGGAGCCCACCAAUAUUGUGUUCUUCUAAAGCUCUGACCCAAGGUUCAUUUUAUAAAUGGAUGUAACCCAUCUUCAUUCAUUCCAAUAUCUGUUUUCCCUCUCUUCAUUUACCAAAAAAACAUGGCCUUAACAUUACGUUCUUCUACUUCUUUCAUCAAACUCAAAGAAACCAACAGCUUCAAAACUCCUGAUGACUUCUUAGGCUCCAUUUCUUUUGCUCAAAUGAAGCCAUCCUGCCGAAUCCGAGCAAGGAAUUCGAUGUCGAUGCAGGAAGCACCGCUGGUGCAUGGGAAAAUCUCGACCAAGGAAACCGAGAAGUUAUACGGUCUAACAAUUUCCCAUGCUGAAAAUAACUCAAAGGUACCUGUUUAUGUGAUGUUGCCACUAGACACAAUAACUCUAGGGGGUAGCUUGAAUAAGCCACGGGCAAUGAAAACAAGUUUGAUGGCCUUAAAGAGUGCAGGUGUCGAAGGGGUUAUGGUUGAUGCUUGGUGGGGCUUAGUAGAGAAAGAUGGACCUUUAAACUACAACUGGGAAGGGUAUGCUGAGCUUGUGAAAAUGGUUGAAAAACAUGGUCUAAAGCUCCAAGUUGUCAUGUCGUUUCAUCAGUGUGGCGGCAAUGUUGGAGACUCUUGCAGGUAUUAUUUUAACAUCCUGUGUUUCUGGUUUUUCUUCUACUGAUAAAAUUUGUGUACGUAAACCUGAAAUUUUAUCUGCUUGAAUGUUUAGUAUCCCAUUGCCUCCAUGGGUGCUUGAAGAAAUCAGCAAAAACCCAGACCUUGUCUACACAGAUAGAUUGGGACGAAGGAAUCCCGAGUACAUUUCCUUGGGAUGUGACUCAGUUCCUGUUCUCAGAGGAAGAAAACCUAUUCAAGCUUACACAGAUUACAUGAGGAGCUUCCGUGAGAGGUUCAGAGAUUACUUGGGACGAGUUAUUGUGGUAUAGCAUCUAUAAAACUCAAACUACUACUGCUAGUUUAGCACAGGAUACCUUAGUUUUAUCCAAAAUCUUAUGAAAUUCUACAUAUUAUCUUUACUGGAAGAUCUAGGACAGGCAAAACAGAAAAUACAGAUAAAUAAAUUUUAAGUUUUAUAUGAUCCAAUCAUACACAAAGGCAACUGUUAUAAAACUGAUUGUGCUUAUUCUGGGGAGAAAUAGAAAACACGUAAACUUUGCAGCUAAAUAUCACAAGCAACAAGAUGAAUGAAUAUGAAUGGGUGUAAGGAGAUAGAUUUAGAUUAAAGAAAAUAGAUACUACAAAAGCGUCGUUAUCGUUUCGUAUUCAUGUUAUUUUUCAGUGUAGAAUCCAUCCAAAUGAUGGACCACAGACGCCUACCCAACAUGUUUAAAAUACCAAAAUAUGUCAAAUAUAAAAGUUUUGGCACUUUCGUUUCUUUACUCAAGUGGUGGAUGAUGAUAUUCAUUUUUAUUUUAUUUUUUGGAAGCUCUAGAAAUCUAAAUGUAAUUUCUAUUUCAGGAAAUUCAAGUGGGGAUGGGACCAUGUGGGGAACUGAGAUACCCAUCUUAUCCAGAAAGUAAUGGAACGUGGAAAUUUCCUGGAAUUGGAGAGUUUCAGUGCUAUGAUAAGGUAAAUUUUAUGAACUAAAUGAAGUUUCUCUUUUAUUUAUGUUUUCAGAUAUAGCACAUAACUUGAAUGAUCAAAACUUAGAUAUGGUAGAUUCCUAAUUCCUAAACAAGAUAAAAUGUUUUAACUUACAGUAUAUGAGAGCUUCCCUGGAAGCAGCGGCGGAAGCCAUCGGGCAAAAAGACUGGGGAAAAGGUGGUCCACAUGAUUCUGGUCAUUACAAGCAAGUUCCUGAAGAAACUGACUUCUUCAAAAGGGAUGGAACAUGGAACACCGAGUACGGACAGUUCUUCCUAGAAUGGUACUCCAGGAAGCUACUCGAGCAUGGAGACCGAAUACUUGCGGCUGCAAAAGGAACAUUCCAUGGAACAGGAGCAAAACUAUCAGCAAAGGUUGCUGGGAUUCAUUGGCAUUACAGAACAAGGUCACAUGCUGCUGAACUAACAGCUGGUUACUAUAACACCAGACAUCAUGAUGGUUACGUCCCAAUAGCACAAAUGUUCAGUAAACAUGGAGUUGUUUUCAAUUUCACUUGCAUGGAAAUGAGAGAUGGGGAACAACCUGAAUAUGCAAACUGUUCACCCGAGGGAUUAGUCCGGCAAGUAAAAAUGGCAACAAAGAUAGCCAGGGUCGAACUUGCCGGAGAAAAUGCACUAGAGAGGUAUGAUGCUGGUUCAUAUGCACAGGUUUUGGCAACGAGUAGAUCGGAUUCAGGCAACGGAUUGAGUGCAUUUACAUAUUUAAGGAUGAACAAAAGGUUGUUUGAAGGGGACAAUUGGAGGCAUUUGGUGGAAUUUGUGAAGAACAUGUCGGAAGGAGGUAGAAAGAUUUCGGAGUGUGACAGCCGAGGAACAAACCUUUACAUUGGGUUUAUCAAAGACAAGACUGUUGAGAAAAAGGAGGUUGCUCUGGUAUAGAAACGAUGUACAGAGUCCAUGAACAACAGUAUAUAAUUAGUGUAUCAUGUAUAAGCUAGAAAAAAAGGAAAAGCAAAACAGAGCAAAGAUUACAUCCAUAUACAAUAUAAUUUUUUGCAUCAUAUGUCAAACUAGCAGAUAGGUGAAAAACAUAAUAGAGAAUAUAACAUCUCCAUAAAUUAUAUGGAGGAUUUCAUUCAAUUUAAAUCCAUGCAUCCAAAAUCAGUAAAUGAUGUCAAUCAUGCCAUUAUUAAUACAUGAUAUUCAACUUUAAGAGGAACAUAUUCAAUUAUUGCCAGAUAAAUGAGUUAAAUAAGGAAAUCAAACCACCUCAGGCUAUGGUUGCGCAAAGGAAAUAAAAACAGACUAUCCUAAUUAGCAGUUAAUAGCUAAUAUAUAAAAGUACAAAUACAUGCCUAUACUGUGUCCACCUAGAAGCAUCCUCAAAUCGGAUCUCUCACCAAGAAGAAGAAGAAGAAACAAAUAUCAAACACGGCGAAGACUUUCGAUCAAGUCCCCGAGUUCUUUACGACCCGAGUCUCUGCCAAACAUGAAUCCAUACCAGAAUAAUUUUUUGUUUCCAAAAACACAAAAAAGCAAAUAUCAAACUUUAACACAAGAGAUUCUAGAGCAAGUGAAUAGAAAGAAAGGGAGAAGCAAUCGAUACCAGUAAGACACCGGCGGUGGCAAUGGUUUGAACUUUGAAUGAGACGUUUUUUUCUCCGUUUUCUAUUUCUUUCCCGCGACUGUACGGAACUUUUUUUUUUUUUGGCUUAAUUCAUUAUUUGCCCUUAAAAUAUACUCACUUUUUCACUUUGAUAUUUAAUUUUUUUUUAUCUCAAUUUGAUACUUAAAAAUGUCAAUUUUCUUUAUUUUUAUCCAAUUUGUAACCACUGUUAACAAAAGACCGUUAGCCAAUUUUUAGCCAAUGACAAAGCCUCAUAUGGCAUGUUUUGGCCAAAAAAAAAAUGUCACUUAACAAUUAAAUUUAUUAAAAUAAAAACAUUAAAUUUAAAUUUUAAAAAAUAAAAAAUUAUAAUAUUAAAUAUUUAAAUAUUAAAAAACAUUUUUUACUUUAAUUGACUGACCAUAAUAAAUUGAGCAAUGAUCAUUUCCUAAAAUAAUUUUCUAAAUUAAUACCGUACUGGCCGCCGCCCGAAAUGUUGGAUAAAAGCCCUUUUUUUCUUUUUCUUUUUCUUUUUCUUACCAACGGAGAAUCCAACCAACAAAAAAGAUAUCAGCAAACACCGCCUUUUUGAUCAACAAAGAAAUUUAAAUAUCAAUUUAAUGCAUAACAAUUUAUAAUGGCUGCUAUAAUUUACAAGCAUACAUUAUGCUAAAAAAUUUCUUCAAAUGGCCAAUACCUCAAUGAAGAAAAGGGCUCUCAUUCAAAGUGAAAUAUCCACGGAUUCAGAGUUCAAACCAGUGAAACAAAAGCAAAAGACAUCUUAGUCGCUAAUAUAUGCUUUCUUGAUUGGUUAUCUGCUAAAACAUCAGAUCAGAAGUACGUUUAUUUCCCCCCGUUUCUCGAUGAGGGUGUAAGAGGAGGAGCCUUGUUGGCUGAAGAGCUUCCUCCCGAUUCUUGUAUUGCUUGCUUCAAGCUCUCUACCACUUCGCUCAUUGUUGGUCUUUCCUUGGCAUUUUUGUUUAGGCAGCUAUUAGCCAACUUUCCUACCUUUUGAGCUGCACUCGAAGAGUAACUGUUACCAAGUCGAGGGUCUAUUAGCAACCUGAACUUUUUACUAUCCGGAGGGAACUCUUUCACCCAAUCUAACAGCUUCUGCUCCAAUGGUGGCCGGUUCCUUUCCACUGCUCGCCUCCCUGUGAGGAUCUCAUAAAGUACCACCCCAAAAGUCCAUAUAUCACUUUGAAUUGUGAGAUGGCCUGUUUUCACAUAUUCUGGGGCAGCAUAUCCGUAUGUUCCGACCACCUUUAACAAAAGAAAACAAACCAUUUAUUUAGUAUCCUAGUGAUAAUGAGUGCCUAAUGCGCUAAAGAGCUAUGUUAGUGCUACUAAUGCACCACUUAAAAAGAUAUUGACAGUCAGUGAAAAGCGAAACAGUGGAGCCAACCAAGAAGGAUGCAAUGAAGAUGCUUUGCAGACAUUGAAUUGAGUCCGAAUUCAGUAUCUACUUACCGCAGUGGAUACGUGAGUACGAUCAUCCGUUGGCCCUUCCCUUGCAAGCCCAAAGUCUGAGAGCUUUGGCUUAAAACUUUCAUCCAAGAGCACAUUCGAGGACUUGAAAUCUCGAUAUAUCACCUUUACAAAUAGCCAAAAGGCAGAUCAGAGAUAACCAUCGUUAAUGAAGUGAUAUGAAUAAAAGAGGGAUGUACCUUGACUUCCAAUCCCUCAUGUAGAUAAGCCAAGCCUUGUGCUGCACCAAGCAUAAUCUCUAACCUUGUUUUCCAAGGUAAAGUUGGUGUCCUCUUAAAAAGAUGAUCUUCUAAGCUCCGGUUAGGCAUGUAUUCGUACACCAGCAACCUAUGAAUCCCUCUUUCCCCGUCUACCGAACAAUAUCCUAAAAGUUUUACCAGGUUUGGAUGGUUAACGACUCCGAGAAAUUGAACCUCCGCAAGCCAUUCCUUAUGACCCUACAUGUGGUUACUCCAAAAUACCAUAAGAAACAGAAACGAUUCUCAAAAUAAAGUGAUAUUGGAAGCUACUAGACAGACAAACAGACAGAGAAACAUCUCAUGGUCCAAAGCAAGAAUGGCUGAUGGUAUCUUUGUCUGAGAUCAAAAUAUUUUGGAUCAUUACAAGAUUAUUAUUAGUAUCAUGGUCCAAUCAUUGUUGCAAUCAGCCUUACAGCACAUCAACAGUACUUAUUCACUAGACUUAGAGGUGUAAGUCAAGAGUUGUGUGAACCAAAUUCCUAUUAAAAUUCUGUGUUCUAUUUUCUUCCCUUUUUAUGAUUUAUUGUCAUUAUUCACGUUCAAUUUUCAGACCACCCUUACAGUGCUGAAUUUUCAGACAAAUUUAAAGGAAGAAAAUGAUUUUGCAGCUAGUACCUGUAAACCCUGAGUGUUGAGCUUCUUGAUAGCAACAACUAUAGGAUCACCUCGACCAUUUGGAGGAGUAAUACUUCCCUUAUAAACACCCCCAAAACCACCCUCACCGAUCUUUAACAACUUGUUGAAACCAUGUGUGGCAUCCCUCAACUCUUGUAACGAGAAAACUCUCAAAUUAUGCUCUUUUUCUUUGUACAGCUCUGGUAUGCCCCUUGGAGAUGGCAAAGACCUUGAUGAUGUCCGAGUCUGACUCAGGGCUGAAUUAUCCGAUUUACUUUGGUUUCUCAGUUCAGGAGCAGUUCUUGAUUCUCUUUUCUUCUUCUUUGAUUUGUCCUUGAUGAAGAUAGAAAAACACUUCAUGUCUAAGUUUUUAUCAAAAUAAAAAAAUUUUCCUGCUACCCUCAAAUUUGUUCUAUCAAGUUGCAACCUUUCCUUCACAUUUAACUUAUGAACCCAAGGAGAAAAACUGAAUUUUGAACGAGGAACGAGUAAACGUAUGAAGAAAACAGAGAAAGAAAAUGGACCCAGAAAAGUCUUGGUGCCUAGGAGUGGAAAAUGGAGAAGAAAAAGCAAAAUAUAUAACAAAUGAAGAUAAAGAGAUGGAAUUUUAAUACAACAAAGGGUAGAAACAAUCAAUGAAAAGUGAAAACCAGACAAGAAACAGUAAAAAGAAACCCCAUCCGGACAAAUAUACACCUGAAUCCUCCUUUACCGACUGAGGAUAGAUGAGAAAAAUAUAUGAAUGACAUGAGAGAAGAUGGGAUCAAGAAAUAUAGGAAGACCCACUCAAGAAAAAUACGCUAAUGUUCUAAAGCACUACUGUUUUGACAUUUCUAAAAUGGAAAAAGGUGGCGCUAGUAAUAAAAUAAUCCUACUCUAUACCGCGUUUUGUUUGGUUUCUUCGUAAAUGUUGUAUGGACUUAUUAAUUAGCAUUCAGUAACAAUUAAAAACAAGUGGACCAUCUUCGUGCUUGUUUACAUUGUUGAUGUUGUUUGAAAGGAACAGUGUCCCAAAACCAAAGAAAACAACAUCCAAGUUUCCAUUUAUUUUGUGGUUAGGAAAGUAGGAUAUGAUUAUAAUUUUCAACAAUAUGCCGCAUACCUUUUUCAUUCAUUUCAACACGGCUGACGCAACUAUGUCAAACGUGAAGAUUUCACUUCCUUAGUUCUUUAUUAAUUUCUUUCACAUUUUCUGACUACUUCAACAUUUAGAGGCGAUUGCUACUAAAACAAUUUUCUACUUUUUUAUGGGACUGUCUUCAACCAUUGAUCUUAUUUCUUUUUCAUGUUUAUUAAACUGUUAAAUUUGUGGUGUAUCCUAGCGUAAUAUUUUGAUCAUGAUGACACUGAAGAAUGUUGGCAAAUGAUUAUGGAUGCUGGUUUAUAGUUAUCAUAUAUGAGAUUUGACCCAUUGAUUGUGUCAUUGUGGCAUUUUCAUUUAAAUUGUGGUAGGUGGUCUGCUGUCAUUUUCAUAUAAAAAGGAAUUCAUGUUGUUUGAAUAAAAUUCAUUUUCAUUUUCUUACUAUCAUCUUCAACUAAUUUUUAUACCUACCAUAAGAUAAUAACUCUAAAUUAUAUGGGUUUAGGUUGUUCCUCCCAAUUAAGAUAAAUUAUUAGUUACAAUAUAGCUAUGUUUUAUAUUUGACUAGAAAUAUUUUAUUUACGUAAUAUUAAGAAAUGUUUUAACAUAAAUAUAUCAGUAAAAAGGAUAAUAGAAAAGUGUAUAAAUUAUAAAAAUAGGUCAAAAUAAAUUGUGUCGUACUAACACUUCCACACGGUAACUUUACCAGAGAUAAUCUUAUUAUCAGGAUAAUUUUCGGAAUACCUGUUACGAUUUUUAUUGCUCAAUAAUUAAUUUGAUCCAGAGGUAAGGAGUAAUUUAUUACGCCAAAAUAUACUGUUAAUACAAUCAAAAUUACGCCUGUAACUCAAGUUAAUUCUCGAGGUUUUUUAAAAUCACGAAAAAAUUGUUAUGUCCACACCUAAAAGUAAAAAUUUAACUAAAAGAUAAAAUAUUAGUUGCAAGCAAGUUAGUUCAUCAAUGUAUUGUUGAUGCCAGAAGAGAACACCGAUUAGUGAGGAAGGAAGUGUACCUAUGUGGCUAUAAGUGACAGUAUUUUUACACGAAAAUUUGACUUGAACUUGAGUAUAACUCAAUCAGCUAAAAUCAUAUUAGUAUAUAUACUUACCUACACGAAGCUCGCAAGACAGUUUCUUCCCCAAAGCCUUCAUUAGGCCCAUCAGAGAGAUGUAUCUUUUGUUUGUUCUAUUGCUUUGAUGUCUGCAACACAAGAACAAUGUCAAACCGAGGUCCGAGCCAAACCACACAUAAACUGAAUGAAGCAGAACAUUUAACAAAUAAUAAUUAGUUCGGUGACAAAGUUCAGUGAUUUUUAAGUAUGGCGAAAUACUACUAUUAAUCUUUAUAUUGUGUAUAAGUUUUGAUUUUGAUUCUUUUAUUUUAAUUUGAUAAUUUUUUCCUCAAGUUUUUCAAUUAUGGAAAUUUAAUUUUGGGUAAUUGCUAAAUUUAUUAAAUUAUAUUAUUUAUAAAAUUAUACGUGUCAAAACUCUUUUUAUUUUGAAAAAUCGAGAUCGACUUUAAAAACGAAAGUUUGGAGUCGCUACCAAUCCUUUUUGGUUUAGGUGUAAUCGGAUCACUUAAUAAAUCAUUUUAUUAAAAUAUGGAUUUUGGCCCAACGAAAAUCAAGAAAUGGGUUCGGGAGUCGGUUACAUACGAGGAAGGAUUAGCACCCUCGUAACACCCAAAAUUAACCUAACUGAUUAAUUUAUGUCCUAAUGUUGAAAAUUUAAAAAAAAAACAUUGAAAUACGAUCCCCUUAAAAGUGUGUGCACAACUCGAACUGGAUUUCAAGAUUCACUCGUUUCAAAGAAAUAAAAUAUCACAUCCAGCACGUUAGGACACGAUAUUUUAAGCCUCCAAAAACUGAGAUCACUUCAUGAUUUCCAAAACGCAACAAGAAGGGUAUUCAAUUAUUUGGACCAACGAAAAAAGCGAAACCCAACACGUUAUGGCACGAUUUCUCGAAUUUCUAAACAUAGAACAUUGCCUUAUUUUAGAAGUUUUUUUUUAAAAAAUUGCUAGUUGCAACAACGAAUUAAAACUACUUGUUUGCUUGAGGAUAAAAAUAAUCGAUAUUGAGUAAACACGAGAAUUGAAAACAUAAUGCAAUUACAAGAGAAAAAAAUAGUUAUAUGUAUGAACAAUAAUAUGUGAAAACGAUAUGAAAGUGAAUGACGUCACAUGAUAUGCAAGACAACACAAGAAUUAGGAGUCAAUGAUAUUUAAAGAUUAUUAAAUAUAUGCAAAGAAAUAAUACAAGUAAAAAAUUCGAAAUAACUUAUAUGCAUAUAAAAACUGACAAUAUAUGAAUAAUUAUUAAUAUAUAUAUAUAUAUAUGUUAUGUAAGAAGAAAUUCAAACUAAAUAAUACAAAACAUAGACAAGUUAAUUUAACUAAUGAUGUAUAUAUGAAAAUGGAAAAAAAAGUGUAAAUGAUAUAUACCAAGAUACUAAAAUAAAUAAAAUAUACAAUAAUCCUUUAAAGAGAACCAAAUUAUACAUAAAUAAAUUUAAAUAUAUAUAUAAAAUUUAAGAAAAUACUUACAUAAAAUAAUACGAGAACAAUAAUGUACAUGGAAUAAAUAAUUUUAUCAUAAAUUAUAUAUAUGUAUAAUAAUAAUACAUAAAGGUAUUUUAACUAAAUAUUGUACAAGAAUUUUAAAACAACACUACAUAAUAUAGAAUUUUACAAUAAUAUUUUUAUAAUUUAAACAAAUAAAAAUAGAGUAGAAAAUUAUUUAGGUAACCUAAAAAGUAUAUUAAAAUAAAUUUUUAAAAGUUGAGUACCAAAUAAAUUUAAGAAAUAAUGAAUUAUACAUGUAAAAAAAAACUUAAUUGAAAUAAACCAAACUUAAAGAGAUAAUUAAUGAAUAAAUAGAACGUCAAAUUAAAACUAGGGACCACAAUUCAAUUGGCACAAAUUCUCAAGGACCAAAAACGAAAAUGACCCAAAUCUCCAAAACUCAGCACCUGGGCGUGGACCAGAUCACAAUCAACGUGUAAAUUAUAGGAAAAAUUUAAUAAAAUAAAUAAGGUGCAAAUAGGAGUUAAUUCAAAACUGGCGCGAAUGGGAAGGACUGGAAGCGAAAUUGCCCCUUUAAAAUGAAAGUGUGUGGACCCAGCCUGUGAAUUGGGUCAACACACGGGCCUUUCCAAAAUGCUACUGCUUUUAACAACCAUUUAUUUUAUUAUUAAAAACAAAAGCUAGUUUUAAAGUCUUUUUUUUUGUUAAAAAAACUUUAACUUUAAUUUCUUUUUUCUAAAAAACCCUAAGCUCUUUCUUCUCCCCACUGUCCUCUUUCUUCCAGCCGCAAACAAGGCCAACACCAAGCCUUCAUUCGCCUCCGUGACGACCAACAGAGGGCUGGAGAACCCCUCUUGUGAAGCGAAUCGAGAGGUACUCACCCUUUCCCCUUUUAUUUCGUAUUUUCGGAUUUGAAUGGAAAUAAAAAUCAAGGAAAAGAACGGGAAAAGAAAAUGAUAAAAUAACCACCUUAGGAAUAUUUUCUUGGCUGCUCUUUACUCUCUUUUUUGGUAUCUUUUGUAUUUCAAAAAAAAAGAAAAAAAACCCCUUUACCAUUAAAAAUCAAAGGCUUUAUAGCCAAAAUACAAGCAAUUUCUGCUGCUUCCUUGUCCAACUUACAGGCCGUGAAGUUGUGGAGAACGAGGGGCAUGGAGUAUGGGCGCAAACAUGGAGCGAGGCACACGGGGAUCGUGCGUGGAGUGCCGACGUGGGGGUUGCGGCGUGGGGCUGCUGUGCAAAAGGGGAACUUAGGGUUUCUGAAACCCUAAAAAUUUGGGCCUAUCGGGCCAUUGUAAAAUUUUGGGCUUGUAAACCGAACGAAUUUGAUGGACUAUUUAAUUUUUGUGUUUGAUUUUGCUUUCCUUAUGGGCCGGGCAAAAUUCGGGUCUUACAAUACGCGGCAAACAUAUUAUCAUAUAUGUAAUGACGUAUAAUUUACUAUUUCCACAUAUUGCUCUAAAAAAGGUGAGUUAAUUGGAUAACUAUUGUUCUGGUGAAUGCAAAAAUUUCAAAACAAAAAGUAUAGGAGUUAAGAAUAGUCAAAUUGAAGAAUAUAGAUUAAAUCAAGGCUAAUAGCAUAAUUUAACCAAAUAGUUUUAAGUGCUACCAUUAGGGUCAAGACUGAAAUUUAAAAAUACAAAAAAUACAAGUAUUAAAAUUGACCAAAUUAAAAUAUAAUGACUAAAUCCACACCUUAUAGUAAAA